This 52461-nucleotide long non-coding RNA is filed under the name Homo sapiens (human). RNAcentral's name for it is "non-protein coding TMEM161B-AS1:54". Lineage: Eukaryota; Metazoa; Chordata; Mammalia; Primates; Hominidae. The record is from RNAcentral.
AGAGCGCCGUCGACCCCACGCCACGCAGAGGUGAAGAUACGCAGGACGUCCUCUAAAGCAACUUCCGUGGGUGCCAGGUUGUGGGCUGGGGGCGGUGCUGACCUUGAGAGAGCGGAGGAGGCGCAGGCGCAGCACAGGUGGCAAUUGAAGCCGGAAGAACAUCUACCAAGAGCAGAGAACCCAGGAAGAAAAUUCUGCCUCUUUAAUACGUUCCAAUAUGGACGUUUUCCAUAUAGAUACCUAUCUAUAUAGAUAGAUGCUCUGGGAUCUGACGGUCCUGGACACCUGUAUGGCUGUGUGCUGUGGUCUUUGCCUAGCCUGCGGUUCACUUUUGCUCUGGCCACCACCUCCCCUCAUGUACAAACCGCGUCUCUGCUCUGCCAGUCUUGGCCCCCGUCAGGCAGCGGUUCACUCCCUCACCAGGGAAGUCUAGAUAGAUAGAUAUAGAUAGAUAUCGAUCGAUAGAUAUAGAUAUAUAUAUAGAUAGAUAGAUAGGUAGAUAUAUGGAUAGAUAUAGAUAUUUGGAUAGAUAUGUAGACGUCUAUCUAUAAAUAUAUCGAUAUAUCGGGGUUCUCAGCCAUCCCAAAGAAGCUUGCACAGGGCCAGUUGCUUUAUGUCAGGAAAAGGGACACAGACUGAGUGUAUGAGGGUUUUUUUUUUCUAUAGAUGUAUAGAUAUUUAUAUCAGAUGCAAAUAAGUGAAACUCUCAUACAACUUUUAAUUUUGUGUUUUUUCCAAACUCUAUUCCAUUCAACUUUUUCUGCCUUUUUAUUUGAUUAUAAUGAGACAUCGUACUGGAGGCAGGCUUGAAAUGGAUAUACAGAGCACUUUCAACCCAGAAAUUUGUCUCACGACUUGGGGUCCUUACUUAAGUUGUAGCUGUUAGUAAUUUCAUCCAUGAAUUCACUUUGUGCCAUAGUGUGAUGUUUUGUUAUGAAGUUGGAAUUGGGAAGGGAAACUAGGAAGUUUUGGGAGAAGUUAAGAAGGUUGAGUAGGCAGGCGUUGUUAUAGAUAUUAAAUUUCACCCUGCUUAUCAAAGUACCUGGAGCGUAUGGUAUCCAAGCUGUAAAUGGCCCAAAGGAAUCGGGGUUCUCAGCCAUCCAAAAGAAGCAUGCACAGGGCCAGUUAUUUUAUGUCAGGAAAGGGGACACAGACUGAGUGUAUGAGGGUUUUUUUUUUUGUUUUUUUUUUUUAGUUUAAACUUGAUUUUGUGAGGGGACGAACAGCGUGACAAUUAAAAGAAGAUCUGGGAAUCGUAAGUACUGACAGAAUACCUGGAGGGAAGGUGGGACUGGAGAAUAGUUUGUGAAACAGAUCCUGCUGAGGAUGAAUCCAGAACUUCCUGAAGGGUUCCGCUUCUGCUGUGUAGGGACAAGGUUGUAAAUAGACAAGCCACAGGCACCUGCAAAUGGUAAGUGUGGUAGAGAGGGGCUGGAAUUGCCUGUUGGUGUAUCUGUGGGAAGCAGCUGCUAUCCUUGAGGAAGAAAAGAUGGAGAAGGUAAGUGGCUAUCAACCUGUCAGAGACAACACAUUCUGUGAAGUUGUACUCUUUCAUUUCUGACACUGUGGUUCUUAAUAUCUGUCCUAAACCUGGCAGUCAUUGAGGUUCGCAAAGUAUCUCCUUCUAUGUGACAGUAAAACUGGAAUUACUAUCAGAAUGGAAUCCAUUCCUGCUAGAGUAAAACCAUGAAAAGAAAUCGCAGUUUUGAUUAUCUGCUUAUCAUUUUUAAUAGAUCACAGAGUGCAGUGUUCCUUAUUUGUUGUAUGGCAAGUUGAUGAAUAACUCUUGAUUAAUAUCUUUUAAUGUUCUGUUUCACACAGUUCUCUCAAUUACAUGUGAAAAAUCUGUUAUAUAAGUAAUGCUAUUUAAUGAUUAAAAUGGAUAUAUGUUUUAAGGUAGUGCCACCCAGUCUUUUUUUUUUGGUAGAAUAAUAUUAUUAUCUAUUGGUUGCCUGCCUUGAAGUACAGUAAUUUCUCUGUUUCCAUUAUUUAAAAUAGGUGAGUGUCUUUGACAAAGAUACAAAGAAAGGGGACAGUUAUGAAAGGGAAGAAAAGAUAGAUGGAGAUGAAAAGAAAUUCAGUAGUUUCAGCAAGGGAAUUAGGAGCAUAAUCUUUGAGAAAAGUCUUGGUUGCUUACCAUUCGGGCUUUGUGAUGAGUUGAAAUGUCCUGAAUGAGAACUGUUCUCAAAUGCUUUCAAGACCAACAAAAAGUACGAUACCCACACUGACCUGGAACUCUUUAAACCAUUAAGAUAUAUCACUUUUUCGCAGUUCAGUCCAUAUUUUUUGCAAAAUGUUCUGCUUAGUUUUUCUGCUAAGAAAUUACUGUUUCUGAACAAGGUUAAGUGUCGUAUGCUUUCAUUGUAGUUUUUUUUCCCCUAACAUAUACUGUUUUCCUAAUUAGACUAUAAAUUCCUCCACAGCUGGGACCUUGUUUUGUUUUCUCGCCUUCCCCAUAACAAAUAUCAUUUAAGUGAAUGUUGUAAACAGUUACUUCAUUUAAAUUGCCCUUAAAAUGCUUUAUGACAAAGACGUUAUUUGUAGUAAUACCUAUAAUGGUAAAAAGUUUGUUGCAGUCUUACAGACGAUAAGAUUGAUCAAUUGUUAUAUAUGCUUAGUGGAAUUUUAUCUAGCUGUUCUAAAGAGCCAUUAGACUAGUCUUUCUAAUGGAAAAUGUUUAUUGUCUAAGUUAAAACAGCAUUUGAGGCCAGGCACAGUGGCUCACUCCUGUUAUUGCAGCACUAUGGGAGGCUGAGGUGGGAGGAUCACUAGAGCACAAGAGUUGGAGACUAGCCUAGGCAAUAUAGUGAGACCUCUUCUCUACAAAAAAUUUAAAAAUUAGCUGAGUGUGAUGGGGUGUGCCCGUAGUUCCAGCUACUCAGGAGACUGAGGUGGGAGGAUCACUUGGGUCCAAGAGGUAGAUGUUGCAGUAAACCAAGAUCAUGCCACUGCACUGCAGCCUGGGCAACAGAGCAAGAUCCUGUCUCAAAAAAUUAAAAAGCAUUUUAUAGACUGCAUGUUUGUGUCCCCCCUCCCUCCGCACCAGAAUUCAUAUAUUGAAGCCUUAAUCUCCAAUGACAUGAUAUUAGUAGGUGGGGCCUUUGGGGGGUGAUUAAAUAAUAAGGGUGAAGCCCUGCAUGGGAUUAGUGCCUUUACAACAAGAGACCCUAGACAGCUUGCUUCCACUCUUUCUUUGCUCUUCACCAUGUGAGGACACAGCAAGAAAACAGACAACUACAAAUCAGGAAGAGGGCCUAAUUUGUGCCAACCAUGCUGGCACUCUUCUCUAACUUCCCAGCCUCCAGAACUGUGAGAAAUAAAUUUCUGUUGUUUAAGUCACCCAGUUUAUGGUAGUUUGGUUAUAGUUGCCCAUAUUAAGACAGCAGGAUGCAAAAUUGUGGCCAGUAUGAUUGCUUUGACAUGAAACAAAUUUUAAGCACAAAUUGCAAAAAGUAACCAAAAUAUAUCAAUCCCCACUGCUGGCAUUAACACUCUAAAACAAACUUUGUAUAUUGGGGGAUUUUAUUUAUUUAUUUAUUUAUUUUUUUUGCUGACCAUAGUGACUCAUGCCUAUAAUCCCAGCACUUUGGGAGGCCGAGUUGGGCAGAUCACUUGAGGCCAGGAAUUCAAGACCAGCCUGGCCAACAUGGCAAAACCCCCUCUUUACAAAAAUAUAAAAAUUAACCAGGCAUGGUGGCACACCCCUGUAGCCCCACCUACUUGGGAGGCUGAGGUGGGAGGAUCGCUUGGGCCUGUGAAGCAGAGGUUGCGGAGAGCUGUGAUGGCACCACUGCACUCCAGCCUGUGUGACAGAGCGAGACUAUCUCAAGAAAAAAAAAAAAGGAUGAGGAUUUUUUUUGUUUUCAACAUGCUUUUUAACAUCCACUAUAUUACUCUCAUCUUUCUAGGCUGGAAAAAAAAAUGUUUUAAAUGUUAUUCUGAAGUAUAUUGCAACCUUUAACAAUUCAGUAGACUUCUGAAUUUUUAUUUUCAUGUAGCUUACCACAGUUGUAUCUAGGAAUAUAUCACAUAGCUGAUUAAUUGGUGAAAUAACCCUUGCAAUUUUACACAGGUUGUACAGUGCACAUUUUCAAGGACCACUCACAUACAUCCAUUUGAUAUUUUUUGGUAUCAAGAAAGUCUUUAAACAAUCAGUACCACCAAUAGCAGUAAAAAGACAAAACUGUCUGAAAGUACCUAUCUGUUUAAAACUUUAAUUAGCUUUAUCCAUCCAUUAAAUAGUUAUUGAAUAUAAAACUGUAUCAUUCACUCUUCUACACUCUGAGGAAAUAGUGGUAAAUAAAGCAGAUAUUGUCCCUACUAUCAGGAAAUUUACAUUUUAGUAGUAAUAAGCCAUAAAUUAACAAAAACAGAAGACAGUGGUAAGUACUAGGCAUGAAAUUCAAACAUGACUAUUUUAGAUUAGGUGAUUAAAGAAACUAAAAUACCAUUUAAGCUGCUGUGUAAAUGACAAGAGAAUCCAGCUUUGUAAAAAUUGGUGAACCCUUUGCUUGCAGAAGGGACAACUGCAAAAUCUAAGGCAUGAUCUAGCCUGGAAUAUUUCAGGAGCCAAAAGAAGGCCUGCAUGGUUAGAGAAUAGUGACUUAAGACGCAAAUACUGUAACUUUGGAGGGAUAGGAAAGGGCUAGAUCAUGUUACCUUUGAAAGACAGGAAAGAGUUUAGAUUUUAUUCUAUGUGCAAUGGAAAAAAAAAUGAGAGCAUUUUAAUCCAAAGAGUAAUAUAAGAUAAUAUAUUUUUAAAAUCCACUUUGGUAAUUUGUUAAUUGGCAUAAAGAGUCAGCUUUCAUGUAACAUAAUUACUAACAUACUUGGAUUUAAAUUUGUCAUUAUUCUUAUUUUAUUUGUCCCACCUCUUAUAUGUUCAUUUUGUCUUCUUUUGCCUUUUUGAUUUUUUUUUUUCUUAAUUAGGCCAUAGCACCUGAUAUUCCCAGGCAGACUCUCAUCCAAGUGCCAAUCAGCCCCAGCCCUGCUUAGCUUCCCAGAUCAGAUGAGAACAGGCAUAUUCAGGGUGGUAUGGCUAUAGACCUUUUAGAUUAUUUUUAAUUAUUCCAUUUUUUCUACCUCAUAAGCUUGACAGAUGUCUUUUAGUAUCUUUUUACUGUUCACCUCAGGUAUUAAAACAUGGAACCUUGGUUUAUCAUCUUUAAGAUAAUUUGGUAUUAUACUUCUUCCAGGACAAUGUAAGGACCUGCGAACACAUCAACUUCAUUUACUGCCACACCUCAUGUUAUAUACAUUGUAUAUUCUUAAUAUGUAUUUCCUAAAUUCUCAAGACAUUUUUUAUACAAUAUGAAUUUACAUUUCAUAUUGUAUAAAACAUUUACUUUUUCUAUUGUGUUUCGUGGUUCCUGGAAUCUGAGCUUCCAUCUAAGACCUUAUUUCUUCUUGAAGGACAUACUUUAAUAUUUCUUCGAAUAUCUACUGGUAACAAUUCAUUCAGAUUUUCUGUCCUGACACUGUCUUAUUUUACUUUCAUUUUCUAAGAACGUUUUUGCUGAAUUAGCAGCUAUUUUAUCAUUUUGAAGAUAUAUUUUAUUCCUUCUGGCUUCCAUUAUGUCCUCUAAGACAUAAUGUCCAUUUUGUUUUUUUCUCUUCAAAGGUAAUCUUUUUUUGGAUGGCUACUUUUAAGAGGUUUGUCUUAAGUUUGGUGUGCCCACAUGUGUUUUGUGUUUGUUUUUUUGUGUGUGUGGUUUUUUUCUGCUUCGAGAUUGAUAAUGUUUCUUGAAUCUGGCUGUGAUGUCCUUAGGCUGUUUGAGAAAAUUCUUAGCUCUGUUUGAUCAGACAUUGCUUCUGCUUUCACUCUCCUUUCUCCUCUUCUUUUGAUACUCCACUUACAUUUGUAUUUGACAAUUCACUUUGUCCCUUGUAUUUUCCAUUUAUUUUCUUGUCUGUUUCAUCCUGAAUAUUUCUUCUUAACUUUCAGUUCACUAUUUUCUCUUAGUAGUCUCGAAUUUGUUAAAUCUCUCUUGAAGCAUUUAUUUUAGUUAUAUUUUUGGUUAUCAGUUCAAACAUUUCUACUUGAUUCUGUUUUAUUGUUUCCAGUUGUUUAUCCAAUAUCUCAAUCUUUUAUUUCCUCAAACAUACUAAUCAUAAUUACUUUAAAACCUGUAUCUAAUAACUAUGGUGUCUGCUAUUAUCUGACACUUUUCUUGUUUCUUGCUGUUAUCACAUUGUCUUGCUUUUAUGUCCCUUAUUUUUAUGUUAUUUUGUAUUAUUUAUUUUAUAAACAUUAUAAAUAUAUAAAACUUGGCUUAGGUUAUGUUUUAAUUGAAUGUCAGAAUUGUUUUGAUUGAACUGUAUAUGAGGAAACUAUACUUUGAAGUCCAAUAUGAUGGUAUUUUCUAAAGAAAGAAUUUAUGUCUCCUGGCAAGACCUUUGGACACUAGUAAUCUAAGAUCUUCUUAAUCUGGUUAGUGAUAGAGACAAUUAGAAUAUAGGCAGGUCUAUUUCCUGUUCAUACUUUCACAAUGUAGACCUCUGAAGUCCCAACUCAAGCAUGCAGAGUUUACCAGAUCAGGCCCUAAACUUCAGUUUUUGUCUUUUUAAUUCUAUGGGUUAGAAACUCUGUUCAACUUUUCAGCCAUCACCUCAGGAAUCAGAAGAUACUCCAGAGGAAAAGCUAAUGUAAAUGCUGGAUUCAACAACUCUGUUUUUUCCUUCUGAAUAUUUCAUUGUCUCUAAUGCUGUCAGAUGUUUGUUUUAUAUUUUGUCCAAGCUGAGUGUGGUGGCUCACGUCUGUAAUUUCAGCACCUUGGGAGGCCAAGGCGGGACCAUCCCUUGAGGCCAGGAAUUUGAGACUAGCCUAGGCAACAUAACAAGACCUUUGUCUCUUGGAAAAAAAUAAAUAAAUAAAUAUUAUUAGAAGUGAAAAUGGGGAUGUUGUUACAAAUGCUGUGGAGAUUGAUGAGAAAUUAUGAACAACUUAAUAAUAAAUGGGAAAAUAUAAAUGAAGUAGGCAGUUCCAGAAAAUGUAACUUUUCAAAAGCCAUGUAAUGGAAAAUAUAAAUGGUGGGAUGUUGAUGUAAGAAAUCAUGAUGCCCAGAGACUUUUGCCAAACCUUCAAAGGACAGAUCAUUACAAUUUUACACAAACCAUUCCACAGUAUAUUCCACUUAUAUACUGUGGAAUUGGCCCUUACUGCCCUUAUCAAAUUUAACAUCAAGGUUACAGAAGCUUAAUAUUACUGCCCUGAUUUUAUUAGGGCAGUAAUGAUUUGAUAAGGGCAGUAAGAAUUACAGCCCUGUCAUAUUCGCAAAGACAAAAAUCCUAAAUAAAACAGACCUUAGAAAAUGUGUUUUUAAGAAAAGAUAAUAAAACAUGAUCAGGUUGAAUUUAACCCAGGAAUGUAUUUUAGUAUAUUAAGAGAUUAGAAAAACUAUCUGGCUAUCUGAACAGAUGCAGGAAAAGAAAACUAUUUGAAAAAAUUAACAGACAUAGAUAAACCUUUGGGCAAAUUAGAAUUGUGUAGAACUUCCUUGAGCCAAUAAAACCUACAACAACAAUAUUUUAAGAUGAAGUAUUUGAAGCAGUCCAUUAGAAUCAGGAACAAGUACUAUGUUGGAGAUCCUAGCCAGCAUUAUAAGGCAAGAAAAACAAAAGAUUAAAAAUUGUAAAUAAACAUAACUUAGUCUACAGAUAAAUUAUUGAAGAGCUUUGCAAGGAUUCUGAAUAUACUAUUGAUAUGGUUUGGAUCUGUGUCCCUACCCAAAUCUCAUGUUGAAUUGUAAUCCCCAAUGUUGGAGGUGAGGCCUGGUGGGAGAUUGGAUCACGGGAAUGGGUUUCUCAUUCGUGGUUUAGUACCAUCCUCUUGGUACUGUCCUUGAAAUAGUUCUUAGGAGAUCUGGUAAUUUAGAAUUGUGUGGUACCUCUCCCCUCUCUCUUGCUCUUGCUCCCCCUUUGCCUUCCACCAUGAUUGGAAGCUUCCUGAAGCUGCCUCAGAAGCAGAAGCCACUAUGCUUCCUGUACAGCUUGCAGAACCAUGAGCCAAUUAAACCCCUUUUCUUUAUAAAUUACUCAGUCUCCAGUAUUUAUAGCAAUGUGAAAACAGAUAAUAUGACUAUCAAUAUACAAAAGUGAAUUGCAUUUCUUUCCAGCAGAAAUGAACUGUUAGAAAAUGAUUUUUGUAACAUACCAUUUACUAUAUUCCUUUAAAAAUAUAAAUUAGGUAACUUAACAAAAGGUAUAGAAGACCUCUGUAGAAAAUUACAAAACUUUAUUGACAGGCAUUUAAAAAUGUCUAAUUUUAAAAUUGCCAUGUUCAAUGAUUAAAAGACUCGAGUUAAGAUGGCAGUUCUCCACUACACAAUGAAGGUAAUUGCAAUACAAAUCCCAAAUGAGUUUUUCAAGGAGCUUGACAAACUGAUUCUAAAGUCUGUAUGACAAAAAGCAGAAUUCAGGAUACUCCAGAAGCAGAUUUAAGAUAGAAUUGACUUGUAGAUAUUCGUAACAGCAAAAAAAUAAAAACAACUCAAAUAUCCAUCAAAAGAUAAAAUGUUUAUCCAUGAAAAGAUACUCAAAAAGUGACACCUUUAUAUAAUGGGAUAUAUUUGGCUGCAAAAAGGAAUGAACUGCUAAUACCUGCUAUAAUGUGGAUAAACCUUGAAAGCCUGCUGAAAUAAAGAAGCCAGUCACAAAGGACCACUUAUGAUUCCAUUUAAACAAAGUGUAUAAAGUAGAAAAUGUAUUGAGACAAUAGAUUGUGGUUGUUUAGGGCUUACAAAGUUUGGGGUGAUGGGGGCCCGAGGUAGUGACAGCUAAAGGGUGCAGUUUCUUUUUGAGGCAAUAAAGUUCUAAAAUGUAUAGUUGCACGUUUCUGUAGAUACACUAAAAUCAAUUCAGUUGUGCAUUUAAAUGAGUAAAUUGGUAUGUGAAUUGUACCUCAAUAAAUCUGUUAAAACCAUAGUAAUUAGGAUAUUGUAAUACUGGCUUAGAGAUGGAAAAAUUGAUUUAUAAGGAAUCCUGAUUGUAAGGAAUCUUGACUUAUGUCAGAGAUGGCAUUGCAUACCAGCAGGGAAAGCUAGAUCAUUUCAAUAGAUGACGCUGCAUAUUCAUAUGGGGGAAAAAUGAAAUUGGUCCUCCCUACCUAACACCAUACAGAAAAAGUAGUUUCAGAUGACUUUAAGAUGUAAGUGUGAAAGGAAAACAUAGUAAACCUUCAAAAGAAAGAUUGCAAAAUAUUUUUAUGAUCUUAUGGUAGGGAAAUGUAAUAUGUAUAAAGGAAAACAUGUAUGUCCAAUAUGUUAAAGUUAAAAACCUCUGUUCAAGACUCCAUAAACCCUCAGAAUAGCGGUUAAUUUCAGUCAUGCCCAGGAAACAUACAAGAUGAGCCUGGAAUACCUUGUGCAAGAUAGCAAGGAAGCUAUUAGAGACUACGAGGGUGUCAUAUCAAAUGGACUCAGGAGACAACUGAAAAGCAUCCUUCUGGCCAUAGAUGAGACCAUUUGAGUGUCAAUAAGGACAGUAAAUGCAAUUGAUUGGAACAUAUCAAGUGUCUUUAAAUCUGAGUACAUAAUGAUUGUAAAACAAACAGCAUUUAGUUGGUCAACAGUAGAAGAUGCUGUUGCAUCAAUUCAUUAUUUUGAAAAUCAGUUUUGUUUUGUUUUUAAAGUAAUUAGGCAUUUGUCCUGCCUUUUGUAUGUGAACUGUAAGUAACCACAUAGUAGAUGAGGAGAGGGUUCUCUUUGUACAUGUAUUCUAGCUAAUAAAUGGAGGAAUGAUAGAAAAUUGCCAUUUUGAAAUUCCUAAUGAACAAAUGGAUUUAUUUAUUGCAUUUCAACAGCUGCUAACAUGACAGACAAGAAAACAUAUGUUUCUUAAUGGAAAAACACCACUACUGAUGUUAAAAUCUUAUCAAAAAUUUGACCCUGAUACUAAUCAGGUCUUUAGAUCCAUCCAAUUUGCAGAAAAUAUAAACACCAUUAAAACUUUAAGCCAAUGAAACCUACCACAACGUAAUAUUUUGGAAUGGAAAAUAUAAAUGAAAAAUCCAAUUUUGGAGAAUAUUGGGACAAAUUAAUUUCAACAAAUAUGUUGCAGGAGAAAAGGAGACGAGAAGGACAAGUGGAGAAAACCGUAGAUUACAAGAGACUUAGUUCAAUAUGAAGCAACCUGUGAACUUGGAUUAGUUAUCUUACUGUAUAACAAAUCACCCUAGCUUAAAUCUAAAAAUAUUUAUACACUUUCUUAGGAUCCACAGGUGGUUUAGCUAGAUGUUCUGGCCCAAGGUCUCAUGAAUUUGCAGUCAAGAUGUUGGCUGGGCUGUAGUCUGAAAGUUUGACUGGUGUUAGAGGAUCCACUUCCUAGAGGGCUCAUUCGUAGAGCUGCCUGUGUUUUCUCACAACAUGGCAACUGGCUUUCUCUAGAACAGGUGAUCCAAGAGAGAGACAGAAACCAUGAUCAUUCAGAGUGAUGUAACAUUACUUCUACUAUAUAAUGUUAGUCACACAGACAUUUCCCUGACAAUAUGUGGGAGGAGAUUACACAAGAGCAUGAAUACUGGGAAGCUAGCUGUCACAAUUUGGCCCCAAUGAUUGAUAGUUCUUGAUUUGCAAAAUAUAUUCAUCCCCUCCAAAAGCUCUCCAAAGCUCUCAUCCUAUGACACCAUUAGUUCAAGGUCUAGAAAUCUAAAUCAGUUCCAAUUGUGGAUGACACUCAUAGGUGUACUUAAGUACAGCUCCUCAAGAAGAGUUCUUUUUGAUCUGAAGACUCAUACACUAAAGACACAGUCUCUGCUUCCACAUGUAAUAGAAAAUGAAUAGGAUAAUAAAUGUGGACAUGUAUAUUUAAAAAGAGGGAAUAUUGGAGGUACAUAGGUUCACAGAAAUUCUGAAACCCACCUGGGCACAGAUUGGCAGUUGCUUGGUCAAGUUUCAAGGCCUAGAAUUCUCUUAGCUCUGCCUUCUGGGAUCUUGGAUCUACUCACUGAGUCACCCUUUCUUUUUCUUGUUUACACUUCUGCCUGCUUUCUGCCUAUAGAAGCUUGGAUGUCCCACAAGCUUCUUUCCAUUUGGUUCUCUCUGUGCCUUUCAGUCCAGGCUGGCCAUGUUUCUGCUAAUAGACUUCUCUUAAAAACUUUGUGGCUCACUUGUGAAUUUUGAGUUCACUCCAUCAGACAAAAGCAACAACCACACAUCUCGUCCCACAUAAACUCUGCCUCAAGCUUUUGCUGAUGAAAAUACCCUUAAACUUUUUAAAAACCUGUGAUGUUAUUCAGAGAUUUUCUGAGACACAUCGUUUGUCUGAUGAAAAUACUCUGAGGCACAACUUAAGAUCUUUCUGAGCUAUUAAAGGACUUUAUAACUACAGCCUCAACUUUAUGUUUUACUGGCAGUGCCCUAGAUUUGCUUUUUGCUCAGAGAUAUUCCCCAAUUUUAGCACAUUUGUCAUCUGCACAGGCUGGGAAUCUUCAAAUCCAGCAAGUUUUGACUUGUUUUUGUUUGUUUGUUUGUAAUAGAGUCUGUUUUUUGCUGUGUUGGCCAGGUGAUCUUGGACUCCUGGCUUCAAGCAUUCCUCCCACCUCAGCCUCCCAAAGUUCUGGGAUUUUAGGUAUAAGCCACCAUGCCCAGCCAUGGCUCCUUUUUGUUUAACAGUCCUUACUUUGAUGGUCUCUCUUCUCACACAUUUUACUAUCAGCAACAAGAAAAAAUACACAUGAAAUAUUUAACACUUGGCCGGCAAUCUCCUUUGCUAGAUCAAUGAGUUAAUUAGGCAUUUUUUCUACUUUGUACAUAUCUGUGGAUAACAAAUUUGCUAAACUUUCUGCCAUUAUGUAACAAGGAUCUCCUUCCCUCUAGUUUCCAAGAAGAGUUUUCUAAUCUGUUAAGAUGUCACCUGCAGCCUCCUCAAAGGUUAUCUAUUAUGCUUCUAUAAAAAAUUUCUUCAAAGCUCUUCAAACUUUCAUUAACACUCUCCUCCAAGUUCUACCUUCUGUUCACUGCCAGUUUUAAAACCACACUUACAUUUUAGGUUUUUGCUAACACCCCACUUCUGAGUACCAAAAUGUAUACUGAUUUUCUAUUGCUGCAUAAUAAACUGCCCCAAAAUACAACAUGCAAAGCAAUAAAUAUUCAUUAUCUCAUGUAGUGUCUGAAGGUCAAAAAUCCGGAAGCAGCAUAGCUGAGUGGUUCUGAUUCAUUGUCUCUUGUGAAGUUAUCAGUCAAACCAUCAGCUGAGACUGUAAUCAUCUGAUGUUUUAACUAGUACCAGAGGAUACACUUUCACAUGCUAUUGGCAGGACACUUUAGUUCUUCACUAGCUGUUUAGCAGAAUACCGCACUUCCUCACCACAUGUACCUCUUCAUAGAGCUUCCUGGCUUCCUCUAAAACAAGUAAUCCAAGAGAGAAGCAGAAGCCACCAUGGUUUUUUAUGCCGUUGUUGACCUAGCCCCCAAAGUGACAUAUUAUUACACAGAUAUGUAGCCAACCUGUGGGUCACUGAUACGGUUUGGAUGUGUGUCCCCUCCAAAUCUCAUGUUGAAAUGUGAUUCUCAGUGUUGGAAGUGGGGCUGGUGAUAGGUGUUUGGUUCAUGAGGGUAGAUCCCUUAUGAAUGGCUUGGUGCUGUCUUUGUGGCAAUAAGUGAGUUCUCACUAUCUGAGUUCACACAAGAGCUGGUUGUUUAAAAGAGCCUGUCAUCUCUUUUGCUCCCUUUCUCACCAUGUGAUAUGCUGCUCCCCUUCUCUUCUGCCAUGAAGAAAAGCUUCCUGAGGCCUUCACCAGAAGCAGAUGCUGGUGCCGUGCUUCUACAGCCUGCAGAACUGUGAGCCAAAUAAAGUUCUUUCCUUUAUAAAUUACCCAGCGUCAGGUAUUGUUUUAUAGCAAUGCAGAACAGACUAACACAGACACACACACCAACCAAGUACAGUAUGAGAAGGGAUUAUUGGGUGCCAUUUUGGAGGUUGUCUACCACAGGAUUUUAUCUGUAUCAUUAUUCAAAUUUCGUUUUUGAAAAAUUUUGUAAGGGCACAUUUAUAGAAAUAUGAAUGCUUAAUAUUUGAUGAUAUUAGGGAAUUAAACCAUUUUUGUGUGAUAGUAAUUUUUAAAGAUUCCUUAUCUUUUAGAAAUACAUAUUGAAAUAUUUAGAGAUGUAGUGAUAUAAUGUCUGGGGUAUGCUUCAAGAUAAGAGUUGCAGAAAGUGGGUGGUAGUAUAAAUCAAGAUUGGUUAUGAGUUGAGAAUUUUUGAGUAAUAGGUAUAUGGGGACUAAGUAUUCUAUUCUUCAUACUUUUACAUGCCGUAAAUCCCCACUUAUCUGCAGGGAAUGUGUUCCAAGACCCCCAGUGGAUGCCUGAAACUGAGAAUAGUACUGGACCCUGUAUAUACUGUGUUUUUUCUUUCCUUAUUGAGAACUUUUAUGUUUUCACUUAAAGGAAGGACUUUACAGCUUCUCUUUCGCAUAUCCAAAUUGCCAGCAUCACCGCUCUUGCACUCCAAGCCAUUAUUAAGUAAAGUAAAGAACACAAACACUGUGAUACUGCUACACUUGAUCUGAUAACCAAGAAGUCUACUAAGUGACUAACAGGUGGGUAGCAUAUACAGCAUAGAUACACUGGACAAAGGGAGGACUCACAUCCUGGGCAAGAUGGAGCAGAAUGGCAGAGUUCAUCAUGCUGCUCAAAAUGAUGUGCAAUUUAAAACUAAUGAAUUAUUUCUGGAAUUUUUCAGUUAAUAUUUUUGGACAUGAGGUGACUGCAGUUAACUAAAACCAUGGAAAGCAAACCCAUAGAUAAAGGGAUACUAUGGUAUGUUUUCAUUUUCUAUAAUAAAAAGUUAAAAAGGAAAAAGACACCAUAGGAAAAUAAAAGACAAGUCACAAACUGGGAAAAGAUCUUUGCAACACAUGUGACUAUCGAAAGGAUUAGUAUUCACACUGUGUAAAGAACCACUACAAUUCAAUGAAAAUGAAGAUAAUGCUUUCCACCCCAAACAGGCAAUUCAUACAGGAGAAAACCUGAAAAGAUACCCAACCACAAGGAAAUACCAUUUCACACCCACCAGAUGAACAAAAAUGUAAAAGUCUGGCAAUAUUACAAUUCUUAUACAUUGCUGGUUGGAGUAUGAAUUGAUAUAAUCAAUUUGGGAAACAAUAUGGUAUUAUCUAGUAGCUGAAGAUGCACAUCUUCUGUGACCCAGGAAAAAUGUAUAGCAGGAGACAUGAGCAAGAAAAUUCAUAAUGGCAUUUAUAACAGUAAAACGUGGAAGAAAAUCCACUGUCCAUCAACAGUAGAGUGAUUAAAUACAUUGUAUAUGCUCAUACAGCAGAAUAUAGUGGUGGAAAAAAUAAAUUACAAGUUCAUGGACAUAGAUAAAUCUCUAACAAAAUGUUGAGCAAAUAAAAAUUCACAAAAGAAUUUUACAGUAGGAUUCCAUUUAUAUAAAGAACCAAUGAAAGUAAAUAGCCUAAGGGUACAAACAUAAGUAAAUCUAUAAAUUAAAGCAAAAGAAUGAUAAGCACAAAUUCAAGGCAGUGAUUUCCUCUAGCUACAGAGGGAAGGGAAUGAAGUAAGGAAAAGGUGAACAAGGAGCUUAAAAGUAUGAUAAUUAUAUGUGUUGGUUUGGCCAAACAGUCCUGGUUUACCUAGCACAGUUCUGGUUUGCUGAUUGCCUGGUGUAAUGAUUAAUAGCACUGUCACUCCCCAAAUUGUCAUUGUUUGGAUAAUGAAUUAUAUGCAUCCUUUUUAGAGUAAAAGUAACUUUUUUCUCCUUAAACUGGAUGGAGGGCAUGUGGGUCUUUAUCAUUCUUCCUUAUACAUGUAUUUUUAAAAUAUAAUUUAAAACUAGUCAGUAUUUUAAAAUAUAAUUUAAAACUUUAGUCAGUGUUAGUCACUGUGUUAGUGACAACACAGUAAAAAAAAAAAAUUUGUAAGAUAAAUAAAUAUAAAUAGGAUCCAAAUGAAACUCUUUUCAUCUGGGUGGAUACAGGGAUAAAUAACAUACUAUAUGCCUGGCAUUGUAUUAAGCUUGUUACUGAUAUUACUUCAUAUUCAUAGCAAGACAUUUAGGUAGGCAUUAUUAUCUCCAUUUUACACAUGAAGAAUCUAAGACACAAAGACUAUACAUAAUUUAACCAAAGUCAUAUUAUAUGUGACAGCGCAGAAUUUGAACCCAAGCAGUGUGACAUCAGACUACAUGCUCUUAACUACCAUGCCAGAGCCCAUAACAGAUUUUCUUAACCUUUUUUAUGCCACAGAUCCCUUUGACAGUCUGGUGAAGCCUAUAGAGUCCUUUUUAGAGUAAUGUCUUUUGUACAUCAAAUAUAAUGCACAGGAUUAUAAAUAAAAUCAAUUAUACUAAAAUAUGGUAAUCAAAAUAUUUAACAAAUGUAUACUAUACCUGUACUUUUUAUUAAUGCAUUAAAUAAAUAAUAAAAUCUAGCAGGUCUAAUGAAUAAUUUUGAAAUAAUAAUAAUAAUUGUAUCUUGAGAUAUCUACAAAUAUAGUAAUGUGAUAGGAAAAUGUUUGUGAUUUUGAUAAGUGAAAAAGUCACCAAAAUACUUGUAAUAACACUGUGGUUUUUUGCAUAUGUUCACAAUGGAAAGAAAUCCUAAAUCUUACUUCGAAGUUAGCAAGAAUUACAAUAUUUUUCCCACCCCAAUUCAUGGCCCUCUACUUUAUGGUCUUAUUUCAUAGGCUUUCUGACAUGUUUUGCUUCAAAGAGGUCCUAUUCCCCAUCCCAUUUCCUAUCUUCUGGUUUGGGAUUACACUCAAGAUGUGAUAUACAGAUAGAUUAGUUUAUUAGAAAGAAAAUAUUUUUCCACAUGGCGAACUUUAGUGGAGGCUAACAAAUCAGAAUGUGCUAAAAUAGCCAUGUGUACAUAUAGACAAUGGGAAGCUUGGAACUGCUUUAGCAUUUUAUACAAAAGACUUAAAAGUAAUUUCAGCUGGGCACUGUGGCUCGGGCCUGUAAUCCCAGCACUUUGGGAGGCUAAAGUGAGAGGAUUGCUUGAGGCCAGGAGUUCAAGACCAGCCUGGGCAACAUAGUGAGACCCUCCCCCCAUCUGUACAAAAAAAUUACAAAAUUAACCAGGCAUUGUGGCUCGCACCUGUGGUACCAGCUACUUGGAAGGCUGAGACAGGAGGAUGGCUUGAGCCUGGGAGGUUGAGGCUUUAAUGAGCCAUGAUCAUGCCACUGCACUCCAGCUUGGGCAACAGAGUGAGACCCUGUUUCCAAAAACAACAAAAACUGGUUUCAAAUAUAUUGCUACAUUGGAAUUCUCCAUAAAGGAAUUAAUUGUUGAUAACAAUGCCCUCAGUAUACUAUUUGUCAAUACCUAUAACAAUGCAACAAACAAAAAAGAAAAUUUAAAUAGCUGGACCACAUUAAAAGUUUUAUUGGGCUAAAAUCAAAAACAUCUGACAAGUUUUUGACUUGUCUUUCUCAUGAUUUAAUGUCCCAGCAGAGCAACUGGGAACCUAAUUCUGACCAAAAAGGAGGAAUUGUUUGGCUAAUUGGAAGUGACAGAAACCUUGGGAGAAAGCAACCGCAUACCAAGGAUAAUUAUAAGAAGAAGAGAAGACAUGGAGAAGAGGAGGGAGUAGUUGUGACCGUGGAGGCAGAGAAUGGAGUAAUGUGAUCAUAAAUCAAGGAAUGCUGACAGCCACUAAAGCUGGAGAAGGCCAAGGACAGAUAUUCAAUCCUCCCGUAGAAGUACAGCCCUGCUAAUGCAUUGAUUUUGGACUUCUGGCCUCAGAACUGUAAGAGAAUAAAUUUCUAUUGUUUUAAGCCUUCAGUUUGUGGUAGUUUGUUACAGAAACCCUGUAAAGUUAAUACACAGAGUUCAAAGAGAAUCCGGUAAUAUCUCUAAAAGACUCGUGUAUUAGUCAGGAUUCUCCAGAGAAGCAAAGCCAAUAGAAUGAUACAUGUUGUUAAAGCAAAUUAAAAUGGAGACCAUGCCUGAAGAAUCUCUGUGCAGAGAAACCCAGUUAGGCCUCAUAAGUUAACCUUACUUGAUUUGCAAACAUAAUCUAAAAGUUAACUGGAGCUAUUUCCGGUAAAUGAAUAUAACACAACUUAAGCUCAAUCAGUCAGAAGCAGCUUUAUAAUUAUGUAGCUAGGGACUUUCCAAGAGGAUGACCAAAGAAGGAAAUGAUAUAACUAUAACCAAAUAAAUAUUUUCUUUGCUUUCCUGUUCCUCCUAUAAAAGCCUCCCCACUGCUGAGCUGUGCUCAGCAGAGCUCCGAAACAACUUCUGGUUUAGAGUUGCCCGAUUUGUGAAUCACUGUUUGCUCAAAUAAACUCUUUAAAAUUUUAUUGUAUCUCAGGUUAUCUUUUUUAGAUAGAUAGAUGAUAUAUGAUAGAUAGAUAGAUAGAUAGAUAGAUAGAUAGAUAGAUAGAUAAUAGAUAGAUAGAUAGAUUAUUUAUUAUGGGAAUUGGCUCAAUCACAGAGACCCAAGAUCUGCCGUCUGCAAACUGGAGAACCAGGAAAGCCAGUGGUGUAAUCAAGUUCAAAGGGCUGAGAACCAGGAGAAUCAAUAACUUAAUACCCAAUGUAAUAAGGCCUGAGAAUGUGGGGUAGGGAUGCUAGUAUAAGUCCUAGAGUCUGACUACUGCAGAACCAGGAGUUCUGAUGUCCAAGGGUAGGAGAAGAUGGAGGUCCUAAAUCAAGAAUAAAGCAAAUUCACCUUUUCUUUGCCCUUUUUGUUCUAUUUGGGCAGGCCUCCAGUGAAUUGGAUGAUGCCCACCCACACUGGUAGAGCAGAUCUUUAGUCAGUCUUGAUUCAAAUGCUAAUUUCUUCACAGAGGCACACAGAAAUACUGUUUUAUCAUCUAUCUGGAUAGCCCUUAACACAGCCAAGUUGACACAUAAAAUUAACCAUCACAAUUAGGUUUUCCUGGGUUGGAAGGAAUGGGAGAUAAUGAAACGGGUGCUGGAGGGUAGAGGAGGUCUGAGGGACUUCUUGGCGGGACUAUGUGAACCAGAAUGGAAUGAGCAAAUUACAGACCCCACAGUCUCUGCUCUGACAGAGAUUGCCAGAGUUUGAAAUAGACCUGAUAGGGUUACUACAGGUUACCAGAACCGGGAAGUCAUGUGGCAGCCAAGCUAAUAUCCAAAGAUCACCCAAAGAGUAUUUCAUGUGAUCAGGAAGAGUCUCUGUUUAAUUGACAACUGCUUCCCACUUCCCAUCCCCUUCACGUGUAGCAGGAGUCACAGCUGUCUGUAUGCAGGUACUUUACUCGACCCUAUCCAAACUAUUAAUAGGAAAAAGUACUUUCUCAGUAGUCUAAGUAGUCACAAACCCUAAGAAAUACAGAAAAGAUUAUGGACAUCUACGGGAGUGCCAGUGAUAUAAAAUGAUAAUCCAUAUCACAUGGAAACCCUCCCACAUAAAUAAUCUUUAUUUGACUAGGACUUUAUUCAUUCAACUGAGAUUCUCCAACACCCCUGAUAACCAGCCAGGACCGUGCUGAUCCUAGGCAACAAUCUAAAAGGAAUAAUUAAAGGAUGCUCUGGGAGCAUCUAUAAGAGAAAGCAGUAAUCAAUCGAAUACAGCACGGGUUUAUCUAUAAUAAUUUCAGUCUAAUUUAAUUUUCUUUCUGAUAGUGUUACUAGGCUAGUCAACCAAUAAAAUGCAGUAGGUAAUAUUUUUCUGGGCCCAUGAGGUAUUACUGACUUUUUUUUUUUUAUCAUAUCCUUGUGAGUAAGUUGGAGGGGUUGGGGAGGCUAGAUGGUAGUACUGUCAGGGAAGGACUUAGCAUCCAAAGGGUACUGACUCCUAGAUGGCAGUCAGCCUCUCCAGAGGUUUUUAGUAUAGAAUUACAGUCCUCGGUCUUCUGUGUUUCAUUGACUUAAAAGAAAACAUAGAAUCCAUAUUUAUCAAAUUUUUACCUGAUUCAAAAUCAGGAAGGAUAGUAUUUUUUCCAAACUUUGGAACAGCUUGAUGUUGACUCUGGGCUAAAUUCUGUAUGGGCAUAAUUAGAAUCAAUAAAAUUUUGAGAGUCUAUAACAAUAUAGGCAGAGUCCAACAAACUAGUAGGAUUUUUAAGUUUAUUCACUCAUUUAGAUGUCACAAAUUUCUGGAAUAUCAACUCUGUGUAAAUGUCUAUGUUAGGCUUUAGAAUAUGAAUAAGGUAUGUUAGACUGCAGGAGUUUAAAAUCUGGUGAAUAAAACAAACUUGUAAACACAAAAUACAACAAAUAUUAAUUGUAAGGCAUUAUUUAGCAUUAUAUUUAGUAAAAAAAACUACAGUUAAUUGUAUGAUAUGCACAGGGACUGGCAUGUGUGAAACACCUUUAGACAUUUAAUAAGCUGGAAAAAAUAAUAUUUACCAUAAACAUAUACUACUGGUGCAAACAUAAAAUAGUAAUUUUGUGGAAAGUAAUUAUGUACAAGCCAUACUAUUUAAUGCAGCAAUUUCCUUCUAAGAAUCUACUUUAAAAAUAAUCUAAAAUAUAUUCAUGUUAUAUAUAUAUAAGGAAGUUCAUAAUCAAAUUAUUUAUAAUGGCAAAAAAGUUUAACAUGAAUGAUUAAAAAGAUAGUAUAGCCAUAUGAUAGUGUCAUAAUCAUAAACAGUUAUGUCUCUAAAAAACAGGUGUCUGAAAUAUUAUGUCACAUUCUAGAAUAGCAUGUUAUAGUCAACUAGAAGUCUGGGAAAAAAUGAUUUUUUUACUGUAAAACCUCUUGAAAGUUUUGAAUUUUGUGCCAUGUUGCGUGUAACACAUUCAAAAAAUAAACACAAUUUUAAAAUAAAGGAUUCAACUUAAAAUUUUAAAAAUACACUUACAGAUAGUUUUUAAUGAUAUAAAGAAAUACUCAUGAUAUACUAAGUGAAAGGCAAGGACAUUACAUUAUUUCUUGCAGCAGUUAUGAAUAAUUGGAAAAUGUAUUACCUGGCUGUAUUACUAGGAAUAUUUUCUUCAGUAUUUUGCACCCUAAGAAAUCUAGGACUGGUUUACAUAAAAGCAAGCAGAAUGAUGAAGAAACUCACCUUAAGAACGGUUGAAUGAAAAUGUAAAUGUUUAGCCUGGAAUAUAUAUAUAUAUAUGAGAUCAUGAUGACUGUCUUCAAGCAUCUGACAUCCUGCCAUGUGAAAAAGUGAUCACGCUUCCACUGGAAGGUCUCAGAGGAUGGAACUAGACCCAUUGGCAGGAGCUAUAGCAAGCCAUUUCAACUCGAUGUCAAAAUACUUGCAGACUUAGUCACUUGCUUAUAUGUCAUUUCAGUUCAAUGUCAGGAAACACAUCCAAAAAGAACAGGGCAAAAAAUGAGUGGUUUCCCAGUCACUUGAAAGAUUCAAGCAUAAAUUAUCACUUCCUUGAUAGGACAUUAUGGAAGAGAUUCAAGCAUCAGAAGUGUGGUUUUUGGGUGUGAUUCCAGCUGUACGAGAAGCCAUUUAAUCCCCCUGGAACUUAGUUCUCCAUAAAAUGGGGACGUUUGACUAAAGUACCUCUAUCUCUUUUUGAGUUUGAAACUCUUUUGAUUCUGCUUUGGAGUAACAACAUUUUUCUCUCUUCCAGAUUUAUAUAUCAGCUUUUUAUCAGUUGAAAUAAACCACCCUGGGCCGGGUGCAGUGGCUCACACCUGUAAUCCCAGCACUUUGGGAGGCCGAGGCAGGUAGAUCAUUUGAGGUCAGGAGUUCAAGGCCAGCCUGACCAACAUGGUGAAACCGCAUCUCUACUAAAAAAUACAAAAAUUAGCCCGGUGUUGUGGCAGGCGCUUGCAAUCCCAGCUACUCAGGAGGCUGAGGCACAAGAAUUCCUUGAACCUGGGAGGUGGAGGUUGCAGUGAGUCGAAACCAAGCCACUGCCCUCCAGUCUGGGCAACAGAUUGAGAGUCUGUCUCGAAAAAAAUAAAUACAUAAAAUAAAUAAGCCACACUGUACUUGUGAAGAUUAACUGAGAUGUUUAAAACAUUAUUUGCAAAAAUGCAAGACAUGAUGUAAGUGUAAAGCAUUAUUAUAUAUCAACAUAAUUGACCAUUAGAAAAAUGCAAAUUAACACCUCAAUGAGAUAUAUCACCAGACACCUGUUAGAAUGGUUAAAAUAAAAAGUACUGAUGAUAUUAAGUGCUGAUAAAAUGCAGAGUAACUCGAUCUCUCAUACAUUGCUGAUGCUAAUGUAAAAUGAUAUCACCACUCUAGAAAACAGUUUGGCAGUUUCUUAUAAAGUUAAACAUGCACUUACUAUACAACCCAGUAAUACACCUACUGGAUAUUCAUUCUAGGGAGAUCAAAAUUUACACCCAAAAACAUGUACAUAAAUGUUCAUAUCAGCUUUAUUUACAAUAGCCCAAAAGGAAACAAUCAGAUGUCCUCCAAUUGAUAACUGGUAUAACCCUAUCACAGAAUCCUACUGAGCAAUAAAAAGGAAAGCACUGUUGAUACAUACAACAACUUGAGUGCAUUUCAAGGCUGUUAUGCUGACUGAAAUAAAAGCUAAUCUCAAAAGGUUAUGUAUUAUGUGAUUCUGUUUAUAUAACAUUCUCAAAUUGCAAAAUCACAGCAAUGAAGAACUGAUCAGUAGUGCCAGGGGUUAGGGUUGUGGGGAGGGUGUGAUGAUGAAUGGGCAGCGUAAGAGAAUUUCUUUGGAGUGAUGGAAUAGUUUUAUAUCUUGAUUAUAGUGAUCAUUAUAUUAAACAAUUGCAUGUGAUAAAAUUCUAUAGGACUGUAUGCCAAAAAUAACUUAAUAUGUUUAUUUUUAAGGUCUGGAAAGCAUGGAAAUUUGUAUCUUCAUUCACUUUUGUUUUCAUGGACUCUUUUCAUGUUUGAACUUUUCAUGACGGAGUCCUGCUGUGUUGUCCAGGCUGGUCUUGAACCCCUGGACUCAAACGAUCUUUCUCCUUGGCCUCCCAAAGUUCUGGGAUUACAGGUAUGAGCUACAGUGCCCUGAGAGUCCUUUUUAAAGUAGUGAAUGCUCAAACAUGGAAUUAAAUUUAGGCAAAGCUCACUUUUAUUUAUACAUAAAACAACUUCAGCCAUGUACCUCAUAACGAUAUUUUGGCCAAUGUCUGACCUUAUAUACAAUGGUUGUCCUGUACGAUUAUAAUGAAGCUGAAAAUUUUCUAUUGCCUAGUAACAUUGUAGUAAUUGUAAUGUAGCACAACCUAUCACACGUGUUUGUAGUGAUGCUGGUGUAAACAAACCGACUGCAUUGCCAGUCUAGUAUAAAAGUCUAGCACACACAAUUAUCCACAGUAUAUAAUAGUUGAUAAUGAUAAUAAACAACUGUCACUGGCUUAUAUAUUUGCUAUACUAUACUUUUUAUCAUUAUUUUAGAGUAUAUUUAGAGUAUAUUAAGCAGCCUUAGGCAGGUCUUUCAGGAGGCAUUCCAGAAGAAGGCAUUGUUAUCAUAGGAGGUGACAGCUCCCUGUGUGUUGUUGCCCCUGAAGAACUUCCAGUGGGACAAGAUAUGGUGGUGAAAGACAGUGAUAUUGAUGAUCUUGACCCUGUGUAGGCUUAGGCUCAUGUGUUUGUGUCUUCAUUCUUUUUUUUUUUUUGAGAUGGGGUCUCGCACUGUUGCCCAGGCUGGAGUGCAGUGGCGCGACCUUGGCUCACUGCAAGCUCCGCCUCCUGGGUUGAUGCCAUUCUCCUGCCUCAGCCUCCCAAGUAGCUGGGACUACAGGUGCCCACCACUACGCCUGACUAAUUUUUUGUACUUUUAGUAGAGACGGGGUUUCACCAUGUUAGCCAGGAUGGUCUUGAUCUCCUGACCUCGUGAUCCGCCCGCCUCGGCCUCCCAAAGUGCUGGGAUUACAGUAUUUAAGACAUUUUUAUAAAUUAAAAAUUUUUUAAAUAGAAAAAAGCCUAUAGCAUAAGGAUAUAAAGAAAAAGUAUUUUUAUGCAGCUGCACAAUGUAUUUGUGUUUUAAACUGUGUUAUUAUGCAAGAGUUACAGAGUUUUUAAAAAUAAAAAGUUUAUAAAGUAAAAAACUUACAACACAUCAAAAGAUAAUACACCAUGAUCAAGUGGGCUUUAUCCCAGGGAUGCAAGCAUAGUUCAACAUAUGCAAAUUAAUAAGUGAUAUCAACAGAAUGAAGGACAAAAGCUUUAUGAUCAUCUUAACAGAUACAGAAAAGCAUUUGAUAAAAUUUAACUUCCUUCAUGAUAAAAACUCUCGAAGGAACAUACCUCAGCAUAUUAAGGGCCAUAUAUGGUUAACCCAGAGCUAAAAUCAUACUGAACAGGGAAAAGCUGAAAGCCUUCCUGCAAAGAACUGGAACAAGACAAGGAUGACCACUUGCACCACUCUUAUUCAACAUGGUACUGGAAGUCCUAGCCAGAGCAAUCAGGCAAGAGAAAGAAUUAAAAGACAUCCAGUUGGAAAAAAGGAGGUCAUAUAUUUUCUCUGCAGACAACAUAAUCUUAUAUCUAGAAAAACCUGAAGACUCCACCAAAAAGGGUGAGCAUGGUGACUCAUGCCUGUAAUCUCAGCACUUUGAGAGGCUGAGGCAGGAGGAUCACUUGAGCCCAGGGGUUCAAGACCAGCCUGGACAACAUAGUGAGACCCCAAUCUCUAAAAAAAGUUAAAAACUUUAGCCAGGUGUGGUGGCACAUGCCUGUUGUCCUAGCUGCUUGUGAGCCUGGGGUGGGAGGAUCACUUGAGCCCUGGAGUUUAAGGCUGCAGUGAGCAAUGAUCAUGCCACUGCACUGUAGCCUGGGUUGUGACAGCGCAAGACACUGUUAAUAAACAAGACAAAACAGACUCCAUCAAAAAGCUCUUAGAGCUGAUAAACAAAUUCAGUAAAGUUUCAGGAUCCAAAACCAACAUGCAAAAAUCAGUAGUGUUUCUAUACGCCAAUAACAAACAAGCUGAAAAAUACAUUAAGAAAGCAAUUCCAUUUACAAUAGCUACAAAAAAAAAAACUUAGAAAUAAAUGUAACCAAGGCGGUAAAAGACCUCUAUGCCAUAAACGACAGAACAUUGAUGAAAGAAAUUGAAAAGGACACAAAUAGAUAUCCCAUGUUCAUGGAUAGAAAUAAUUAAUAUUGUUAAAAUGACCAUACUACUGAAAGUAAUCUACAGAUUCAAUGCAGUCCCUAUCAAAACACCAAUAAAAUUACUCACAGAAAUAGAAAAAAAAAUCCUAAAAUUUGUGUGGAACAACAAAGGCCCUAGGUAGCCAAAGCAUUCCUGAGCAAAAAUUAUAAAGUGAGAGGCAUUGCCCAACCAGACUUCAAAAUAUACUACUAAGCUAAGUAACCCAAACAACAUGUUACUGGUAUAAAAACAGACACAUAUACCAAUGGAACAGAAUAGAGAACCCAAGAAUAAUCUAUCUAUUUAUAGCCAACUGAUUUUUUGUGAACAUGCCAAGAAUAUACAUUGGGGAAAGGAUAUUCUCUUUAAUAAAUCAUGUUGGGAAAAUUGGAUAUCCGUAUACAGAAGAAUGACACUAAACUCCUAUCUCUCACCAUAUACAAAUAUCAAUUCAAAAUGAAUUUAAAAACUUAAAUAUGAGACUCCAAACUGUAAAACUACUAAAAGAAAACACAGAAGAAACACUUCAGGACAUUGGUCUACAUUGGUCUAGCCAAAGAUUUUAUGUCUAAGACUUCAAAAGCAUAGGCAACAGAAACAAAAAUAAAUAAAUGGGAUUAUAUGAAACUAAAAAACUUCUGCACAGCAAAGGAAACAAUCAACAGAGUGAAGAGAUGACUUGUAGAGUGACAGAAAGUAUUUGCAAACUAUUAAUCUGAUAAGGGACUAAUAUCCAGAAUAUACAAGAAACUCAACAGGAAAAAAAAAGUCCCAUUAAAAAGUGGGCGAAGGAUCUGAAUAGAUAUUUCUCGAAAGAAAACAAGCAAACGGCCAACAAAUACAUGAAAAAAUGCCCAACAUCACUAAUCAUCAGGGAAAUGCAGAUCAAAACCACAGUGAGAUAUCAUCUCACCCCAGUUAGAAUGGCUAUUAUCAAAAAGGCAAAAAAUAGGUGUGGUGGCAUGUGUCUGUGAUCCCAGCUACUCAGGAGGUUGGGGCCAGGAAUUUAAGCUGCAGUGCGCUAUGAUCACACCUGUGAUCACUGCACUCUAGCCUGGGCAACAUAAUGAGAACCCAUCUCUAAAAAAAUACUAAUAAUUAAACAUUUUUAAGAAGACAAGAAAUAAAUGCUGACCAGGAUUCAGAGAAAAAGAAACAUACGCUGUUGGUGAGAAUGUAAAUUAGUACAGCUAUUGGCCAGGUGCAGUGGCUUACGCCUGUAAUCCCAGCACUUUGGGAGGCCAAGGUGGGCAGAUCACUUGAGGCCAGGAGUUCAAGACUUGCCUGGCCAUCUCUACUAAAAAUACAAAAAUUAGCCAGGCAUGAUGGGACACACCUGUAAUCCCAGCUACUUGGGAGGCUGACGUGGGAGAAUCAUCUGAGCUUGAGAGGUGGAGAUUGCAGUGAGCCGAGAUCAUGCCUCUGCACUCCAGCCUGGGUGACAGAGUGAGACUCCAUCUCAAAACACACACACACACACAAAAAAAAAACAAUACAGCCAUUAUGGAAAACAGUAUGGAGGUUUCUCAAAAACUGAAAAUACAACUUCCGUAUGAUCCAGCAAUCCCACUACUGGGUAUUUAUCUCCCCAGAAGGGAAAUCAGUAUAUCAAAGAGACAUCUUCACUCCAUUGUUUAUUGCAGCACUAUUCACAAUAGUCAAGGUAUGAAAUCAAACUAAGCAUCCCUCAACAGAUGGAUAAAGAAAAUGUGCUAUAUAUACACAAUGGAAUACUAUUCUGCAACAAAAAGGGAAUAAAAUCCUAUCAUUGUAGCAAUAUGGACAGAACUGGAGGUCAUUAUGUUAAGUGCGAUUAGCCAGGUACAGAAAGACAAAUAUUGCAUGAUCUCACUCAUGUGGGAGCUAAGAAAGUUGAUCUCAUGGAGGUAGAGAGUAGAAAAAAAGUUGAGAUUAGGAAGGGUGUGGUGGAGUGAGUAAAGUGAGGUUGGUUAAAGGGUAGAAACACAGAAAGAAGGGAUAAGUUCUAAUGUUUAAUAGCAUGUAGGAUGGCUAUAGUUAACAAUAAUUUAUUGUAUAUUUAAAAAUAGCUGCAAGAGAAUAUUUGAAAUGUUCACAACACAAAGAAAUAAUAAAUGUUUGAGGUAAUGGAUAUCCUAAAUACAUUGAUUUGAUCCUUACACAUUGUAUGCAUGUACCCCAGAAAUAUGUAUAUUUAUUAGAUAUCAAUAGUUUUUUAAAAGUUAAAAAGGAACAAAACCAUGAAAAAUUUAUAGUAAGCUAAGAUUAAUUUAUUAUUUAAGAAAUAUUUUUAAAAAUACAUUUGGGGUAGCCUAAGUGUACAGUGUUUAUAAAGUCUACAGUACUAGACAGUAAUGUCCUCAGCCUUCACAUUCACUCACCACUCACUCACUGACUCACCCAGAACAACUUCCAGUACUGCAAGCUCUGUUCAUGGAAGUGCCCUAGACAGGUGUACCAUUUUUAAUCUUUUAUACUGUAUUUUUACUGUAUCUUUUCUGUGUUUAGAUACCAAAGUACUUCCCAUUGUGUUACAAUUGCUUAGAGCAUUCAGUACAGUAACAUGCUAUGUUUAUAAUCUAAGAGUAAUCAGCUAUACUGUACAGUCUAGGUGUGUAGUAGGCAAUACCAUCUAGGCUUGUGUAAGUAUAUUCUAUGAUUUUCAUACAACAAAAUCACCUAAUGAUGCAUUUCUCAGAACUUAUUCUUGUCUGUUAAGCAACAUGUGACUGUGUUUUAUUCUUAUUUUUAAAUUUUACAUCAUCUUUUCAAGGAAACCUCUGGAAAAAAAAAUUAUACCAAAAUUUUCACUGCCCACUCAAAGUGGUCUAUUUUUACUGUUUAUCUUACAACUGAAGAGACUAUCCAUGCCUUGCUAAAUUCUACUUUAGCUGCUGAGUCUGUCUAUAUACUUAAUAAAUUUACUGUCAUUCAAAUUACAUAAUAAACAUAGGAGCUUACAAUUACUUUUCUAGGAUAAAAUCUAUGCAGGAAGUUUGUCUCAAGAGAGGAAUUUUUGCUGGGUGGCACAUGUCUGUAAUCCCAGCACUUUGGGAGGCUGAGAUGGGAGGCUCACUUGAGCCCAGGUGUUCAAGAUCAGCCUAGGCAACAUUGUGAGACUCCAUAUCUAAAAAAAAAAAUUUUUUUUAAUAACUGGGUGUGGUGGCAUGCACCUGUAGUUCCAGCUACAAGGGAGGCUGAGGUGGGAAGAUUGCUUGAGCUCAGGAGGUCGAGGUUGUAGUGAUCUGUGAUCAUACUGCUGCACUCCAGUUUGGGUGACAGAGUGAGACCCUAUCUCAAAAACAACAUAAAAAGUGGAUUUUUAAUAAGAUAAUCCUUAUGGAUACUAAAAUAUUAGCUUUCUUUGGGAAGUAUAACUUCUGUCAAUGAGAUUACCAAUAUUUGCCAAUAUUUUCAGUCUUCCUGUCUUUUCUGGAUAUGUAAAAUUCUACAUUUCUUAGUUCUGCAAGUUGAGCAGGGCCAUGUGACUAUAUCUACCAAUGGACAGUGACCAAAGGUGAUAUGUAUCACUUCCAUGCCAAAGCAUGUAAGAGUCAGUGUAUGAUUUGCCCAUCCAUACUGUCUUUUCUGGAACAAAGAGCCCUGAGAUAUCACAUUGAAAUGGAGACACCAGGAAAAGGGAGCAAUCUGGAAUGUUGAGUCACUAUGUGAAGGGCUGACAUGGAGAAACUCCUGCACUCUUGGCAGAUUUGCCUGAGUAAGAAACUGUCAUGUGAUAGGACUCUCAGAUUUUUGUUUAGUUUAUAACUAUCAGCAUUAUUCCCUAGCCUAUCCUGACAAACAGAAUCUGUACCUAACUUGGUUUGUUGUGUUAAAAGUUUUCAUGGCCUUUUGUGCUCCCAUACAUUAGAUGAACAGUUGUAUAUACAUUUUCAAAUUUUCCAGUAAGGAAGUAUUUAAUAUGAUAAACAUUUCAAUUAAUAAUUUGUUCUAUUAGUCUCUAGUACCAACUUAAGAUGUCAAAUUUCUAAUCUAAAUGAACAAUACUUUUAAUUACAUAUAUAACUUUAUCUCAUACUUAUACCCUGUGUUAAUCAUUACCAAACAAUAGAAAGGGUACAUUUUUGUUGUUGUUGUUGUUGUUAUUGUUGUUGUUUUGUUGUUGUUGUUUUGAGAUGGAGUUUCAUUCUUGUCAACCAGGCUGGAGCACAAUGCCACGAUCUCAGCUCACUGAAACCUCCACCUCCUGUGUUCAAGCGAUUCUCCCAUCUCAGCCUCCCAAGUAGCUGGGAUUACAGGCACGCACCAUCACGCCUGGCUAAUUUUUGUAUUUUUAGUAGAGAUGGGGUUUCACCAUGUUGGCCAGGCUGGUCUCGAACUCCUGACCUCAGGUGAUUCAUCCAUCUCAGCCUCCCAAAGUGCUGGGAUUACAGGCGUGAGCCACUGCGCUGGGCCAGGUACAUUUGUGUAUGCAGUCUUCUUUUUAAAUAUUUUUAAAAAUAUUAUUUUAAAAAAUAUUUUGUAGAGACAAGCUUUCACUAUGUUUCCCAGGCUGGUCUCGAACUUCUGGCCUCAAGCGAUUCUUUUGCCUCAGCCUCCAAAACUACUGGGAUUACAGCAUGAGCCAUCAUGCCCAGCUAUACAGCCUUCUAAUUUACUAAAUAACGUUGAUGUGCUUGAUCAUGUUCCCUGGAAAACAGACCCUGAGAAGGAGAUUUGCAUGCAGGAAUAUUUAUUCGAGAAUGCUCUUAGAAUCAACACUGGUGAAAUGCAGGAUUGAGUAGAGGGAGAAGUUCACUGUGAUGUACUUACAAUAAAGCCUAAGCUGACCCUAGGAUGGCUCUAAAGCUAGAGUGGCACUUUAGAGGCAUCCCAAAUGAAGGCAGGGGGUUGAACCUCUGUAUGUACAUCAAUGGCCACUCAUUUAUCUAAUGGCUGACUCCUGGAGAUGAGUGUGACCUUGAGUAAGGCUGAGAGCAAUUCCUGUAUGGAGCUGAUAUUUUGAGAGCUGUCAGCCAACGUCAUUCCCAGAAGCUGAGCAAAGAAUUCUUUCAGCCCUGAAAAGGAAUCUGGGUAGUAUAGCUGUGUUCAAUACAACUGAUAAUCAUAAAGGGACAUGUAUCUAUCUGAAGUUGUUAGAUGAUCACCAACACCACCACCACCACCAUCAUCAUUGUCAUCAUCAUCACAUUUACACUGAUAACUUUAGUAUGUGCCAGGCACUUGUCCUAAGUGCUUCGAAAUAAUAUAUUAACUUGUGUAAUUCUCAUGUUAACCCUAUAAUAUAAUCUUAAAUUCUUUGUCCUCAAAAAUAAAAAUCAAUAUAAGUGCUUUUUCUGUAACACAUUCCAAUCCAGAAUGCUUUACUAAUGACCAUUCAGUAAUUUCCAUUGUAUGUUAUUUUAUCCAUCAUGAACAGCCCCAUUUGGUGAUAGUCAUUGGCCAAGAUAGUUACUUUUGCUCAUGGGUUGCAUCUUCUAAAUAAUGGAUGGUAUUAUGAUGUCUGUAAUUUACUUUCAAAUAAAUGAUCACAGAUAAUAUGAUACUGUGUGGAUAUAUGUGUGUGUGUGAUAUUAUGUGUGUUAAUUUAGGCUAUAAGUGCACUUGUUUGCCAUAAUUAAGAAGUCACAUUCCCAUGUAUGGUCAGAAAGUAUUUAAUCAAAAGGCCGCACUCCAGAGGAAGCUAUGUCAAGUGCUCAAGUCGUACUUAUCUUGAACAACGCUAUAAUUUUUCUAAUUAGUAUAUUGAAUAUAAGCAAUGUGGCAAUGUGUUUUCACUGGUGAAAUUAGUGUUGUUCAAAGUGUGUGCAUUGGCUAAUAUAUUUUAGACAUUCUGCCUUUGCAAAAUGGGUUGUAAAAAUCUAGUAAGCAUCAUAAUCUUUAUCCUUAGGAAUGGCAUCCAAGGUUUGAUUUCUAAAAUGUCCCUUAUCUAGCUAUUGAUUCCAUGGAUUCUGGUUGCCUAAAUCCUGCCUCAAUAUUGCCGCGUUUGCCUUAAAUGAACUUUCAUACAUGUGGUAGUCAUAUAUGAUAGCCAGCCUCCAAGUUGGCCGUCAAUGACCUGACACCAAUGAUCCUUAGUGUUCAUCUCUUUUUAUAGUCUCUUCCCAUAUCAAAUAGAGCUGGUCUGUGUAACCAAUAAGAUAUUCUGGAAACGUGAAGAUUAAUUCGUCAGUAAUGUGAGUGAGCCAUCUUGGAAGCAGACCAUCCAGUCCCAGUUAAGCCUUAGGUAACAACAGCCCUGGCCAACAUCUUGAUUCAUGAGAGACCCUGAACCAAAACUAUCCAGCCAACCUACUCUCAAAUCCCUGACCUACAGAAACUCUGAUAUAAUAAAUAUUUAUUGUUGUUUCAAGUCACUAAAUUUUGGGGUAAAUUGUUGUGCAUCAUGGAUAACUAAUACAUGAAAGAGAGAAUUGGAUGUUAAUUGAGUUUAUUGAAGAGAUUAUAUGAAUUGUUGUGUGUAUGACUCCCUGUCAAUAACUGUUUAUUUUAAUUUUUUGAGAUGGAGUCUCACUCUGUCUCCCAGGCUGGAGUGCAGUGGCAUGAUCUUGGCUCACGGCAGCCUCCGCCUCGCAGGUUCAAGCGAUUCUCUGCCUCAUCCUCCUGAGUAGCUGGAAUUACAGGCGUGUGCCAGGACGUCCAGCUAAUUUUUGUGUUUUUUCAGAGACAGGGUUAUGUCAUGUUGGCCAGGCUGGUCUUGAACUCCUGGCCUCAAGUGAUCUGCCCACCUCAGCCUCCCAAAGUGCUGGGAUUAUAGGCAUGAGCCACCACAUUCAGCCAUAGUUUUUUAAUGUUUGUGUGUACAACAGAAUUUGGCCCAAGACUUGCUUUAUUGUAACUUAGUAGCCAACCCUUUCACUCAACAGUUGGUGACUACCUUUAUCUGUCAAAAAGAACAAAAUAGUUGUGUGUGACCAAACUUGCUUAGAUCGUUUUGCAAGAGAGCCAUAUUAAUUUUUCUAUGAUAAAAAAAUCAAGCCUAUGAUGGCUUGAUUCAAUCCACUUCUCUUUAUCACCCUGUUCACUCCAGUCCAGUCAUCUGUCACUUGGUCUAUUACAAUAACCUUUUAACUCAUUUAUGCAUAUUCAUUGGUCUUUUUCCAUCCCAUCAUCAACAUUAAAGUUAGAGUAGGCUUUUAAAAAUACAAGGCUAUUUAUGUAAUUUCCCCCAUUUAAAAUCUUUCAGUGCUCGGGCUGGUCAUGGUGGCUCACACCUGUAAUCCCAGCACUUUGGGAGGCUAAGGCAGGAGGAUCACCUGAGCCCAGGAAUUUGAGACCAGCCUGGGCAACACAGUGACUGAUCUCAUCUCUAAAAAAUAAAAGAUUUAGCUGAGGGUGGUGGCACAGCCCUAGCUACUAGGGAGGUUGAGGUGGAAGGAUUGCUUGAGCCCAGUAGUUCGAAGCUGCAGUGAGCCAUGAUCAUGCCACUACACUCCAACCUGGGUGACAGAGUGAGAUUCUAUCUCUAAAAAAUUAAGAGUAAAAAUAAUAAAAUAAUAUAAAAUCUUUCAGUGCUUGAAAAAAUAAGGCAAAGACAUAAGUUAACAUGACCUAUAAAACCUUUCCAUCCUUGUCUUGCACUCUUCUUUCUCUUACACUCUGUGACCCCACCUCACACUGGCCUUUUUUCAAUUACUAGUACUCUUUCUAUUCCCACUUACCACAGAGAAUUUGUACAUGGUGUUUCUUCUGCCUUGAAAUCUCUUCUGUUUCCUCUUUGUCUAGUUUAAGGCUGCCUAUCUUUCAUAUCUAGUGCAUAUGUGAGUCCCUCAGCAAAACUUUCCCUAAUCUCCCUGAUUGAUUCUCAUAGCAUCAUACAUCCCUCCUUUGUGUGCCAGGAACAUUGCAAUUUUACAUUUGUUUGUGUAACUAUUUGAUUAAUGUUCAUGUUGACUGCUAGUACAUUCUAUGAAAGUAGGUACCAUAUCUGAUAUCACUCACUCAUGUAUGCCUUGGGGUCUACCACGGUGCUGAAAAUGUGGUGCAUAUUUGAUAAAUAUUUGACGAAUAUAUGAAUAACUGAUUGACUAAUUUAAUGAGUUCAGGUGGCUACUAAUGUCGCUUCAGAGUGAGAGUGCCUAGUUUCAAAUUUUGGCAGUUCCUAACUGCAAUGUUAGGGACGAUUUUAUCUCAUUUUUCCUUCGAUUUGUUCUCUGUAAAUUGGGAAUAAUAAUUACCUUAUAGAGUUUUGAAAGGAUUAAAUGAGCUAGUAUACAUUAAAGACUUAAAGCAGUCCUUAACACAGCAAGUACUUUAUGCAUAUAUGAUAGCUACAAGUAUGAUUAUUAACAUCCUUAGUCAAUCUGUCAUACUAGUUCCUUAGGCCAUGGCCACCAGUUCCUUGGGUAAAUUCAUUCUUUACUUGUAGAUGCCAAAUUUCAACUGUCUGUGUAAGAAACAAGAAGCUAUGUCAAAGACAAAAAUUGAGGAUGGAAGCAUAUAAUUAUUAUUAGGUGGUGCAAUUUUGACUUAGGUAUAGGGAUGCUAAUGUUAGCCCCACAUCACUGAUAUUUAUUUGAUAUUUACUAUUUAUACAAAGAGACCAAAGGAGCAGAUUUUGUAUUUAAUGAGGGAGAGCCUCAAAGAGUUCUAUACCUACCUUUUAGUAAUGCAUCGCAAAGAGUUGAGUCCACCAUCUCUCCAUAAGUUUUUGCUUUGGCUAUUAAUUUUUGGGAUUCCCUUAUUAAUCUUUAUUUGAGCCUCAAACAAUGGUAAAAUAUUAACAUCAUAUAAAAUGCUAUUGCUCUCUUUGGGCUAUAGACCUUCCACACUAAGGCCCUGACUUUAAAAUGCUAAAGCAAUAGGUUUAUAACUUUUGAAUAUUAUAUGUUAGAAACUAUUGAGAUGAUAUUCAUUCUUAUUAAACAGUAGAAAUGUUCUUCAUGCUCAGUGCAAAGGCAGCAAUGGUUGGAUUUAUUUAGUUACUAAUGCUUUUUACAGAAGUCGUGAAUGUUAGCAUUUUAUUAUAUUCAGGGUCUCCACUUACAGACAUGUCCAUUGUAAGCUGCCAUUGAUUUAGGCAAUAGGUCAUAAACUGAAGAGUUGUUUUUGGUUAAGUGUUACCAGUGAUGCAUUCUGUUCUUUGUUUACUACCAACCACGCAAAACAAUACUUUGUACUUUGCAAAGAAACUGAGAUCACCCAGUCCUUGCAACUUAGGUCAUUUCAGUCUGGGUGAAAAAAAAAACUCUUUUCAACUCUUUGCCAGUUCCUCCUGGCUUUUUGAGAAGGAGAUACCUCUGAAAGAAAAUAGAUCAAAGUUACAUGAGACUAAGGGCAGAUCAUAUAGCUAUACUUUGUAGUCUGUUGAAAACAGAACUAGCUUUACUGGAAAAGAGAUCUACUGUUGUAGCUAUAAGGGGCAGAGGGAAGGUUAGAGGGAAGGUUACUAACCUAAAAAUCCAACCACCAUCCCUCUACUAGUUUGUCAGACUUUAAUAUUCCACCAUCAGAAAUUCAUUUUAAAACAUAAUUUAAAAGAUUUUAAAAGAUAAUUCCUUAAAGCAGUCACCUGUGGAAAAAAGUGAAUUCUCUAUCAAAUCCUUUUCCUGAAAGUGAAUUUCCUGAAAGCACUAAGACUGAGAGGUAACACUGGCUCCUGAAGUUCGGAUUUGACUGUAGGGGUGCUGUGGAGAGGAAAGGUUGGAAGAGCACAGACUGCUUUUGAAGAGAGGCUAGCAGGAAAUCUCUGGCCAUGGAAAACAGUGAUUUCAAUGUGUAAAGACUAUGAGGAAAAAGAGAAAAAGAAGUGGAUUUUUUUUUAAUUUGCUGUUCUGGACGUCUGUAAUAGAAGAAAGGAAACAUGUUACCUCUGCUGAGAUAAAGUGAAGGGACACUCAGACAAGAUUGGAGGGUCAUUAUCUUUUCAUACCUAGAAUGUGAGAACAACUUCACUUCCCUAAAUAUUCUGGUCUUUAGUUUUUGUCUGAUUAUUAUUAUGCCAAAUUCAUUCCUAUUUAUAAAGUGAUUAGUAUAUACAAAGCCCCUUGAAAGUAAUAAAAAAAAUUUUUAAGUUUUUGGUUUUGGGGGAGCUUUCCAUGUGUACUCUCUCCUAGUAAUUCUUUCAUCAAUAUACAAAUCAUUUACCUGUUAAACUAGACAUAAUAGAUUAAGGGUCUCUCCAUGAUAAGUGAGGAAACACAGGUCACUUUGUCUUGUAGUAAGGAACCAAGGAAAGUAAAGAUGGGAUGAAUAGACAAGGAAGGAGGCUGGUACAGAUUUAUAAGUUUAGUUUUUAUUAUGUCCUUGGUAUUUGCCAGUUGGACUAGAAAGGAAAAGCUAUAUAUGAAAAAAAAAAACUAUCACCUUAUGCUAAGCAAAGGAAUUUUGUGGCAGAAUGAAAAUUUGCUAAUGGGUAUAGGGGAUAUAGAAAUGGGAGGAACAGAGUGGUUGUACCCAUUUAAACCCCACCAACAAUGUAUAGAAGUAGUAGUGCUGAUUUUGAAAGUAUGUAAUGGAAUCUGAGUAUGGUUUUAAUUGUCAGUUCCCUGAUGAAUAAUGAUAUUGAAUUCUUUUUAAUUUGCUUGUUGUCUGUUUAAAUAUCUACAUUUAUGAAAGGCCUACUUGAAUCUUUUGUUCAUUUCUUAAAACAUUGAGUUGUCUUUCUCUUACUGAUUUGUAGUCAAGUUUUAUAUAUUUUGGGUACAAGUCAUAUGUCAAUAGUUGUUUUACAUUUUUCUUCUCCUAAUCUGUAGAUCAUUGCUCACUCUCUUAAUGAUAUGUUUCAAUGAACAGAAGUUUUUAAUUUUAAUGAAGUCUGUUUGAUCAAACUCUUCUUUCAUGGUCAGUGCUUUUUGUAUUUAAGAAAACAUUACCAGGGGGUAUUCCAAGAUGGCCAAAUAGGAACAGCUCUAGUCUGCAGCUCCCAGCGUGAUUGACGCAGAAGACAAGUGAUUUCUGCAUUUCUAACUGAGGUAUCUGGUUCAUCUCAUUGGGACUGGUUGGACAGUGGGUGCAGCCCACGGAGAGUGAGCUGAAGCAGGACAGGGCAUCACCUCACCUGGGAAGUGCAAGGGGUCGGGAAUUUCUCUUUCCUAGCCAAGGGAAGCCAUGACAGACUACCUGGAAAAACGGGACACUCUCCGCCCAAAUACUGCACUUUUCCCAAAGUCUUAGCAACCAGCAGACAAGGUGAUUCUCUCCUGUGCCUGGCUCAGUGGGUCCCAGGCCCAUGGAGUCUUGCUCACUGCUAGCGCAGCAGUCUGAGAUCGAUCUUUGAGGUAGCAGCCUGGCCGGGGGAGGGGUGCCUGCCAUUGCUGAGGCUUGAGUAGGUAAACAAAGUGGCUGGGAAGCUCGAACUGGUUGGAGCCCACCGCAGCAAGGCCUACUGCCUCUAGACUCCACUUCUGUGGGCAGGGCAUAGCUGAACAAAAGGCAGCAGACAACUUCUGUAGGCUUAAACAUCCCUGUCUGACAGCCCUGAAGAGAGCAGUGGUUCUUCCAGCACGGCGUUUGAGCUCUGAGAACCGACAGACUGCUUCCUCAAGUGGAUCCCUGACCCCUGUGUAGCCUAACUGGGAGACACCUCCCAGUAGGGGCUUACCUCAUAUAGGCGGCUGCCCUUCUGGGAUGAAGCUUCCAGAGGAAGGAUUAGGCAGCAAUAUUUGCUGUUCUGCAGUAUUUACUAUUCUGCAUCCUCCGCUGGUGAUAACCAGGCAAACAGGGUCUGGAGUGGAACUCCAACAAACUCCAGCAGACCUGCUGCUGAGGGACCUGACUGUUAGAACGAAAACUAACAAACAGAAAGGAAUAGCAUCAACAUCAACAAAAAGGUCAUCUACACCAAAACUCCAUCUGUAGGUCACCAACAUCAAAGACCAAAGGUAGAUAAAACCACAAAGAUGGGGAGAAACCAGAGCAGAAAAGCUGAAAAUUCUAAAAAUCAGAGCACGUCUUCUCCUUCAAAGGAUCACAGCUCCUCGCCACCAACAGAACAAAGCUGGACACAAUGAUUUUGACAAGUUGACAGAAGUAGGCUUCAGAAGGUUGAUAGUAACAUACUCUGAGCUAAAGGAGGAUGUUUGAAACCAUCACAAGGAAGCUAAAAACCUUGAAAAAACAUUAGAUGAAUGGCUAACUAGAAUAAACAGUGUAGAGAAGACCUUAAAUGACCUGAUGGAGCUGAAAACCAUGGCAUGAGAACUUCGUGAUACAUGCACAAGCUUCAAUAGCUGAUUUCAUCAAGUGGAAGAAAGGGUAUCAGUGAUUGAAGAUCAAAUUCAUGAAAAAAAGUGAGAAGAAAAGAUUAGAGAAAAAACAGUAAAAAGAAACAAACAAAGCCUCCAAGAAAUAUGGGACUAUGUGAAAAGACCAAAUCUACAUUUCAUUGGUGUACCUGAAAGUGACAGGGAGAAUGGAACAAAGUUGGAAAACCCUCUGCAGGAUAUUAUCCAGGAGAACUUCCCCAACCUUGCAAGGCAGGCCAACAUUCAAACUCAGGAAAUACAGAGAACACCACAAAGAUACUCCUUGAGAAGAGCAAUUCUGAGACACAUAAUUGUCAGAUUCACCAAGGUUGAAAUGAAGGAAAAAAUGUUAAGGGCAGCCAGAGAGAAAGGUUGAGUUACCCACAAAGGGAAGCCCAUCAGACUAACAGCAGAUCUCUUGGCAGAAACCCUACAAGCCAGAAGAGUGGGGCCAAUAUUCAACAUUCUUAAAGAAAAUAAUUUUCAACCCAGAUUUCAUAUCCAGCCAAACUAAGCUUCAUUAGUGAAGGAGAAAUAAAAUCCUUUACAGACAAGCAAAUGCUGAGAGAUUUUGUCACCACCAGGCCUGCCCUACAAGAGCUCGUGAAGGAAGGCACUAAACAUGGAAAGGAACAACCGGUACCAGCCACUGCAAAAACAUGCCAAUUUGUAAAGACCAUCGAUGCUAUGAAGAAACUGCAUCAAUUAAUGGGCAAAAUAACCAGUGAACAUCAUAAUGACAGGAUCAAAUUCACACAUAACAAUAUUAACCUUAAAUGUAAAUGGGCUAAAUGACCCAAUUAGAAGACACAGACUGGCAAAUUGGAUAAAGAGUCAAGACCCAUCAGUGUGCUGUAUUCAGGAGACCCAUCUCAUGUUGGAAAACACACAUAGGCUCAAAAUAAAGGGACAGAGGAAGAUCUACCAAGCAAAUGGAAAGAAAAAAAAAGCAGAGGUUGCAAUUCUAGUCUCUGAUAAAACAGACUUUCAACCAACAAAGAUCAAAAGUGACAAAGAAGGCCAUUACAUAAUGGUAAAGGGACAAUUCAACAAGAAGAGCUAACUAUCCUAAAUAUAUAGGCACCCAAUACAGGAGCACCCACCUUCAUAAAACAAGUCCUUAGAGACGUACAAAGAGACCUAGACUCUCAUACAAUAGUAAUGGGAGGCUUUAACAUCCCCCUGUCAAUAUUAGACAGAUCAAUGAGACAGAAGGUUAACAAGGAUAUCCAGGACUUGAACUCAGCUCUGCAACAAGUGGACCUAAUAGACAUCUACAGAACUCUCCAUCCCAAAUCAACAGAAUUUACAUUCUUCUCAGCACCACAUUGCACUUAUCCUAAAAUUGACCACAUAAUUGGAAGUAAAGCACUCCUCAACAAAUGUAAAAGAACAGAAAUCACAACAAACUGUCAGACGACAGUGCAAUCAAAUUAGAACUCCGGAUUAAGAAACACACUCAAAACCACACAACUACAUGGAAACUGAACAACUUGCUCCUGAAUGACUACUGGGUAAAUAACGAAAUGAAGGCAGAUAUAAAGAUGUACUUGGAAACCAAUGAGAACAAAGACACAACAUACCAGAAUCUCUGGGACACAUUUAAAGCAGUGUGUAGAGGGAAAUUUAUAGCACUAAAUGCCCACAAGAGAAAGCAGGAAAGAUCUAAAAUCGACACACUAACAUGUCAAUUAAAAAAACUAGAGAAGGAAGAGCAAACAAAUUCAAAAGCUAGCAGAAGGCAAGAAAUAACUAAAAUCAGAGCAGAACUGAAAGAGAUAGAGACACAAAAAACCCUUCAAAAAAUUAAUGAAUCCAGGAGCUGUUUUUUUGAAAAGAUCAACAAAAUUGAUAGAGACCACUAGCAAGACUGGUAAAGAAGAAAAGAGAGAAGAAUCAAAUAGAUGCAAUAAAAAAUGAUAAAGGGGAUAUCACCACUGAUCCCACAGAAAUGAAAACUACCAUCAGAGAAUACUAUAAACACCUCUACGAAAAUAAACUAGAAAACCUAGAAGAAAUGGAUAAAUUCCUGGACACAUACACUCUCCCAAGACUAAACCAGGAAGAAGUUCAAUCUCUGAAUAGACCAAUAACAGGCUCUGAAAUUGAGGCAACAAUUAAUAGCCUACCAACCAAAAGAAGUCCAGGACCAGACGGAUUCACAACUGAAUUCUACCCGAGGUACAAAGAGGAUCUGGUACCAUUACUUCUGCAGCUAUUCCAAUCAACAGUAAAAAAGGGAAUCCUCCCUAGCUCAUUUUAUGACACCAACAUCAUUCUAAUACCAAAGCCUGGCAGAGAAACAACAAAAAAAGAGAAUUUUUGACCAAUAUCCCUGAUGAACAUCGAUGCAAAAAUUCUCAAUAAAAUAUUGGCAAACUGAAUCCAGCAGCACAUCAAAAAGCUUAUCCAUCACGAUCAAGUCGGCUUCAUGACUGGGAUGCAAGACUGGUUCAACAUAUGCAAAUCAAUAAAUGUAAUCCAUCACAUACACAGAACCAAUGACAAAAACCACAUGAUUAUCUCAAUAGAUGCAGAAAAGGCCUUUGACAAAAUUCAACAGCCCGUCAUACUAAAAACUCUCAAUAAACUAGGUUUUGAUGGCAUGUAUCUCAAAAUAAUAAGAGCUAUUUGUGACAAACCCACAGCCAAUAUCAUACUGAAUGGGCAAAAACUGGAAGCAUUCCCUUUGAAAACCAGCACAAGACAAGGGUGUCCUCUCUUACCACUCCUGUUCAACGUAGUGUUGGAAGUUCUGGCCAGGGCAAUCAGGUAAAAUAAAUAAAGGGUAUUCAACUAGGAAAUAAGAAAGUCAAAUUGUCCCUGUUUGCAGAUGACAUGAUUGUGUAUUUUGAAAACCCCGUCGUCUCAGCCCAAAAUCUCCUUAAGCUAAUAAGCAACUUCAGCAAAAUCUCAGGAUACAAAAUCAAUGUGCAAAAAUCACAAGCAUUCCUGUACACCAUUAACAGACAAACAGAGCCAAAUCAUGAGUGAACUCCCAUUCACAAUUGCUACAAAGAGAAUAAAAUACCUAGGAAUCCAACUUACAAGGGAUGUGAAGGACCUCUUCAAGGAGAACUACAAACCACUCCCCAACGAAAUAAAAGAGGACACAAACAAAUAGAAGAAUAUUCCGUGCUCAUGGAUAGGAAGAAUCAAUAUCAUGAAAAUGGCCAAACUGCCCAAAGUAAUUUAUAGAUUCAAUGCCAUCCCCAUCAAGUUACCAAUGACUUUCUUCACAGAAUUGGAAAAAACUACUUUCAAGUUCGUAUGGAACCAAAAAAAGAGCCCAUGUUGCCAAGACAAUCCUAAAUCAAUGUUCAUCAAGGAUAUUGGUCUAAAAUUCUCUUUUUGUUGUGUCUCUCCCAGGCUUUGGUAUCAGGAUGAUGCUGGCCUCAUAAAAUGAAUUAGGGAGGAUUCCCUCUUUUUCUAUUGAUUGGAAUAGUUUCAGAAGGAAUGGUACCAGCUCCUCCUUGUACCUCUGGUAGAAUUCGACUGUGAAUCCAUCUGGUCCUGGACAUUUUUUCGUUGGUAAGCUAUUAAUUAUUGCCUCAAUUUCAGAGCCUGUUAUUGGUCUAUUCAGAGAUUCAACUUCUUCCUGGUUUAGUCUUGGGAGGGUAUAUAUGUUGAGGAAUUUAUCCAUUUCUUCUAGAUUUUCUAGUUUAUUUGCGUAGAGGAGUUUAUAGUAUUUUCUGAUGGUAGUUUGUAUUUCUGUGACAUCGUUGGUGAUAUCCCCUUUGUCAUUUUUUAUUGCGUCUAUUUGAUUCUUCUCUCUUUUCUUCCUUAUUAGUCUUGCUAGCAGUCUAUCAAUUUUGUUGAUCUUUUAAAAAAACCAGCUCCUGGAUUCAUUGAUUUUUCGAAGGGUUUUUUGUGUCUCUAUUUCCUUCAGUUCUGCUAUGAUCUUAGUUAUUUCUUGCCUUCUGCUAGCUUUUGAAUGUGUUUGCUCUUGCUUCUCUAGUUCUUUUAAUUGUGAUGUUAGGGUGUCAAUUUUAGAUCUUUCCUGCCUUCUCUUGUGGGCAUUUAGUGCUGUAAAUUUCCCUCUACACACUGCUUUGAAUGUGUCCCAGAGAUUCUGGUAUGUUGUGUCUUUGUUCUCACUGGUUUCAAAGAACAUCUUUAUUUCUGCCUUCAUUUCGUUAUUUACCCAGUAGUCAUUCAGGAGCAGGUUGUUCAGUUUCCAUGUAGUUGAGCAGUUUUGAGUGAGUUUCUUAAUUCUGAGUUCUAGUUUGAUUGCACUGUGGUCUGAGAGACAGUUUGUUAUAAUUUCUCUUCUUUUACAUUUGCUGAGGAGAGCUUUACUUCCAACUAUGUGGUCAAUUUUGGAAUAGGUGUGGUGUGGUGCAGAAAAGAAUGUAUAUUCUGUUGAUUUUGGGUAGGGAGUUCUGUAGAUGUCUAUUAGGUCCGCUUGGUGCAGAGCUGAGUUCAAUUCCUGGAUAUCCUUUUUAACUUUCUGUCUCGUUGAUCUGUCUAAUGUUGACAGUGGGGUGUUAAAGUCUACCAUUAUUAUUGUGUGGGAGUCUAAGUCUCUUUGUAGGUCACUGAGGACUUGCUUUAUGAAUCUGGGUGCUCCUGUAUUGGGUGCAUAUAUAUUUAGGAUAGUUAGCUCUUCUUGUUGAAUUGAUCCCUUUACCAUUAUGUAAUGGCCUUCUUUGUCUCUUUUGAUCUUUGUUGGUUUAAAGUCUCUUUUAUCAGAGACUAGGAUUGCAACUCCUGCCUUUUUUUGUUUUCCAUUUGCUUGGUAGAUCUUCCUCCAUCCCUUUAUUUUGAGCCUAUGUGUGUCUCUGCACGUGAGAUGGGUUUCCUGAAUACAGCAAACUGAUGGGUCUUGACUCUUUAUCCAAUUUGCCAGUCUGUGUCUUUUAAUUGGAGCAGUUAGCCCAUUUACAUUUAAGGUUAAUAUUGUUAUGUGUGAAUUUGAUCCUGUCAUUAUGAUGUUAGCUGGUUAUUUUGCUCGUUAGUUGUUGCAGUUUCUUCCUAGCCUUGAUGGUCUUUACAAUUUGGUGUGUUUCUUCAGUGGCUGGUACCGGUUGUUCCUUUCCACAUUUAGUGCUUCCUUCAGGAGCUCUUGUAGGGCAGGCCUGGUGGUGACAAAAUCUCUCAGCAUUUGCUUGUCUGUAAAGGAUUUUAUUUCUCCUUCACUAAUGAAGCUUAGUUUGGCUGGAUUUGAGAUUCUGGGUCAAAAAUUCAUUUCUUUAAGAAUGUUGAAUAUUGGCCCCCACUCUCUUCUGGCUUGUAGAGUUUCUGCCGAGAGAUCAGCUGUUAGUCUGAUGGGCUUCCCUUUGUGGGUAACCCGAGCUUUCUCUCUGGCUGCCCUUAACAUUUUUUCCUUCAUUUCAACUUUGUUGAAUCUGACAAUUAUGUGUCUUGGGGUUGCUCUUCUCGAGGAGUAUCUUUGUGGCGUUCUCUGUAUUUCCUGAAUUUGAAUGUUGGCCUGCCUUGCUAGAUUGGGGAAGUUCUCCCGAAUAAUAUCCUGCAGAGGGUUUUCCAACUUGGUUCCAUUCUCCCCAUCACUUUCAGGUACACCAAUCAGACGUAGAUGUGGUCUUUUCACAUAGUCCCAUAUUUCUUGGAGGCUUUGUUCAUUUCUUUUUAUUGUUUUUUCUCUAAACUUCUCUUCUUGCUUCAUUUCAUUCAUUUCGUCUUCCUUCACUGAUACUCUUUCUUCCAGUUGAUUGCAUCGGCUACUGAGGCUUAUGCAUUCGUCACGUAGUUCUCCUGGCGUGGUUUUCAGGUCCAUCAGGUCCUUUAAGGACUUGUCUGCAUUGAUUAUUCUAGUUAUCCAUUCAUCUAAUUUUUUUUCAAGGUUUUUAACUUCUUUGCCAUUGGUUUGAACUUCCUCCUUUAGCUUGGAGUAGUUUGAUCUUCUGAAGCCUUCUUCUCUCAAAUCGUCAAAGUCAUUCUCCAUCCAGCUUUGUUCCGUUGCUGGUGAGGAGCUGCAUUCCUUUGGAGGAGGAGAGGCACUCUGAUUUUUAGAGUUUCUGGUAUUUCUGCUCUGUUUUUUCCCCAUCUUUGUGGUUUUAUCUACCUUUGGUCUUUGAUGAUGGUGACGUACAGAUGGGUUUUUGGUGUGGAUGUCCUUUCUGUUUGUUAGUUUUCCUUCUAACAGUUAGGACCCUCAGCUGCAGGUUUGUUGGAGUUUUCUGGAGGUCCACUCCAGACCCUGUUUGCCUGGGUAUCAGCAGCGGUGGCUGCAGAUCAGCGGAUAUUAGUGAACCGCAAAUGCUGCUGCCUGAUCGUUCCUCUGGAAGUUUUGUCUCAGAGGAGUACCUGGGUGUGUGAGGUGUCAGUCCGCCCCUACUGGGGGGUGCCUCCCAAUUAGGCUACUCGGGGGUCAGGUACCCACUUGAGGAGACAGUCUGCCCGUUCUCAGAUCUCAAGCUGCGUGCAGGGAGAACCACUACUCUCUUCAAAGCUGUCAGACAGGGACAUUUAAGUCUGCAGAGGUUACUGCCGCCUUCUGUUUGUCUGUGCCCUGCCCCCAGAGGUGAAGCCUACAGAGGCAGGCAGGCCUCCUUGAGCUGUGGUGGGCUCCACCCAGUUCGAGCUUCCCGGCCGCUUUGUUUACCUACUCAAGCCUUGGCAAUGGUGGGCGCCCCUCCCCCAGGCUCACUGCCGCCUUGCAGUUUGAUCUCAGACUGCUGUGCUAGCAAUGAGAGAGGCUCCAGGGGCAUAGGACCCUCCGAGCCCGGUGUGUGAUAUAAUCUGGUGUGCCGUUUGUUAAGCCUGUUGGAAAAGCGCAGUAUUAGGGUGGGAGUGACCCAAUUUUCCAGGUGCCAUCUGUCACCCCUUUGUUUGACUAGGAAAGAGAAUUCCCUGACCCAUUGCACUUCCCGGGUGAGGCAAUGCCUCACCCUGCUUCAGCUCAUGCAUGGUGCACUGCACCCACUGUCCUGCACCCACUGUCCAGCACUCCCUAGUGAGAUGAACCCUGUACCUCAGUUGGAAAUGCCAAAAUCACCCGUCUUCUGCAUUGCUCACACUGGGAGUUGUAGACUGGAGCUGUUCCUAUUCGGCCAUCUUGGCUCCACCCUAUAGCUGGAUUUUUAAAGCCCAAUUAUAUAUGGGCUUUAUUUCAUUAGAAGGAUUUAAUUUAUUUAUAUUGAUUGUGAUUUUAUUUAUUCCUGACAUUUUAUACAAUUUACAACUUUUUUCUUUUUUGCCAUUUGUGAAAUUAAGUUGCUUUCUUCUUUAUUUCAGUAGCAUAGAAAUUAUACCUCUGAUUUUUCUUCUGCUCACAAAUAUUUCAAUUUUAACCACCAUUUUACAUGUAUUAUUCUUCAACUCCUAUAAAUAAGCAGCAUCUGUGUCUUGCCCUUGAUCAAUUUCACUCCCAUUGGUCCUCUUUCUCCUACUACUGCCAUAUUGUAUCAUUCCAGGUGAUAAUAAUCUGGAAUUUACUUUAUUUAUUUUAUUUCCAGUUCAAAUCAUUGUUUAGAAUUAGUUGUAGGUAUUUCUGAUUUUUUUUUUUUUUUUCCACAUAACCUCUGCGGCUACUGCCCUAGAACAAAUCAUCACCAUCUCUGCUUGGCCCUUCCCUGUAACCUCUGACUGGCUUGCCUACUUCAGUUCUUUCCUUCUGUACCCCCUCCCUCAUGUUAUUUGCCACAUAAAAGCAAGAGUUAUCCUUUUUUAAAAAAAUGCAAAUUGUGGUAGCACACCCCUGUAACCCCAGCUACUCUGGAGGCUGAAGCAAGAGCAUUGUUUGAACUCAACAGUUGGAGGCUGUAGUGUACUAUGAUCACCCCUGUAGAUAAUCCACUGCACUCUAGCCUGGGCAACACAUCGAGACCCUGUCUCUUAUAACAAAAAAAAAAAAACCUACAAGUCCAAUUGUGCCUUAAAACUCUCUUUUGGCAUGUCAUCGCAUUUAGAACAAAAUCCUGCGUUCCUAAGUCCUUACCCUGCCUUCCUAGAAGGCUUUAAUGAUCUGUCCCCUCUGCCUUUGGUGUUCACUCUGCUUUGGCCACUGGGACCUUCUCAGUCCUCAAUUCACCAAACACACUCCUGGAUUAGGGUCUUUAUACUUACUGUUCACUCUGCCUGAAAUGUUCUUCCCUCAGAUGAGCACUUGGCAUGCUCACAUACUUCUUUCAGGUCUUUGUUCAAAUGUCACCUCCUCAGAGAGGCUUUUGCUGACAAACCUAUUCAAAAUUGCAUCCUCUGGCCCCACUUUACACUCUAAUUCCUUACACUGCUUUAUUUUAUUCUUCAUAGUACUUAUCAUCAUUAUCAAGCAUGUAUCACUUAUUGUUUAUUUGCUUGCUUCUUGUCUGUUUUCCUUACAAGAUUGAAAUCUUCAUGAAGGUAGGGACUCUGUUUUGUUCACUAUGUUAUCCUUAGUGCUAAAAACAGUGCCUGGCACCUAGUAGGCACUUUUUACUUAAUAUCUAAAUCAAUACAUAUAUGAAUGAGUGAAUGAAUGAAUGAAUGAGUGAAUGAAAAACUCCAAGUCUACUCUCAACUUUGCAGGAAUUCUUUUUCGAGUAUCAGUCUGAUCCUGUCUGGCUUCUAUCUUUUGUGCUUUUAUAGAUUCCUUAAAAUUCUAGUCUGCCAAUAGUACCUAUUCUGAUUUAAGUAAAGUUAUGAGAUUCAUUUUGUUUUUAAUUUUUUCUGAGGAAUAUUUUUUUCUGAAGAGAUAAGCAGAUUGAUGAGCUCAUCUUGAUCUUUGUCAGUAUAUUUAAAUCAUUGGUUAGGAUAAUUUUUAACAUGUUAAACUUUAGGGCUCAGAGACUCUUUAACUUCCUCAUGUUACAGAUUUUAAAAUGAGACUCAGAGAAGUGAUUCAGUUUACCCAAAUCCCCCUACAAAACACAGCUCUAAAUAAAUACUAAUUCUGUGCCUCUGCAAAAUAUUGUGCAGGCUCACUUGCGAGGCAUGCAGGAAACUCAACAACUGUCAGAAAGAAAGCUCGGAAAUGGCAGAAGGAUCUCAGAAAUAAUCUUAGCUGUAAGGACUGGCCUCAAAGACGGUGGCACCAUUUGAAUCAUAGGGCUUAGCAAACUCAAGGUGAUGUCUUGCCUCAAGAGACUUCAAUCAGUUGAUAGGUGAAUUGCAGCAAUGGAAAUCUCCAGUGUGGUCAUUUUUCAUUAGGACAGGGGGAAGAAUCUUGGUUCUGGGAAAUCUACCACGUGAUGAGGAAUUAGAGAUUCAAGAGACAAGAUUUGGGCCCUGAAUGAGGGGUUGGCAAGGGUUACACAGUUCAGUCAUGAUCGAAUCAGGAGCUUAUCUUAACCCAGAGAUUCCUUUCUAGUGAUAAUCGCUCUUUCAACCAAUAAAAAUAUGUUUAAAUCUAUCUAUGACCUGGAAGCCCUCCCAUCCCACCCCUUGCUACCUCCAGUUGUCCUGCUCUUCCAUAUUGAACCAAUGUAAAUCUUACAUGUAUUAAUUAAUGUAUUAUGUAUCCCUAAAUAUAUAUAAAAGCAAGCUGUGGCCAGGCGUAGUGGGUCACACCCUGUAAUCCCAGCACUUUAGGAGGCUGAGGCAGGUGGAUCACCUGAGGUCAGGAAUUUGAGACCAGCCUGGCCAACACAGUGAAACCCCGUCUCUACUAAAAACACAAAAAUUAGCUGGGCGUGGUUGUGCACACCUAUAAACCCAGCUACUCAGGAGGCUGAGGCAGGAGAAUCACUUGAACCUGGGAAGCGAAGGCUGCAGUGAGCUGAGAUCGCGCCACUGCACUCCAGCCUGGGAGACAGAGCAAGAUUCCACCUCAAAGAAAAAAAAGAAAAGCAUGCUGUAACCUUACCACCUUGGGCACAUGUCACCAGGAUCUCCUGAGGCUACAUUCUUAACCAUGGCAAAAUAAACUUUCUAAAUUGACUGAGACCUGUCUCAGAUAUUUUGGGUUCAGGAGUAGUAUAGAACACUAGAAGUUAUUCCUCCUAUCUAACUGUAAUUUUGUAUCCUUUAAUAAAUCUCUCCCUAUCUCCUCCUUCCCAUCUUUCCCAGCCUCUAACAGCCCCCGUUCUAUUAGGUUGGUGCAAAACCUGUUUUAUUAGGUUUGCACCAACCCAAAAUCAACUAUUUUACACUUCCACAAAUGAAUGAGAGCAUGCGAUGUUUAUUUAAUUUUCUGUUACUGGCUUAUUUCAUGUAACAUAAUGUCCUUUCGUUCAUCCAUAUUGCCGCAAAUAACAGUAUUUCAUUCUUUUUUUAUGGUAGAAUAGUAUUCUAUUGUGUUUAUAUAACAUAUUUUCUUUAUGCAUUCACCUGUUGUUGGACACCUAGGUUGAUUUUAUGUUUUGGUUAUUGCAAAUAGUGUUGCAAUAAACAUGAGGGUGCAGAUGUCUCUUUGAUAUACCAAUUCCCUUUCCUUUGGGUAGGUGCCCAGUAGUGGGAAUGCUAGAUCAAAUGGCAGUUCUAUUUGGAGUGUUUUUAGGAAUCUACAUACCGUUCCCAUAGUAGCUGUACUAGUUUACAUUCCCAUAAGCAGUGUAUAAGAGUUUCCUUUUCUCCACAUCUUCAUCAGCAUUUGCUAUUUUUCACCUUUUUGAUAAUCACCAUCCUUACUGGGAUGAGAUAAUACCUCAUUGUCGUUUUGAUUUGCAUUUCCCUAGUGAUUAAUGAUGUUGAGGUUUUUUUCAUACAUUUAUUGGAGAUUUGUAUGUCUUCUUUUGAAAAAUGUUUGUUCAUAGCUUGUAGGCCUUUUGCCUGAGAUCAAGUGAGAAACGUCUGUUCAGAUCACCUACCCAUUUUACAAUGAGAUUGCUUCCUACGGUUGAGAUAUUUGAGUUCAUUGUAUAUCCUGGAUAUUAAUCCCCUGUCAGAUGAAUAGUUUGCAAAUAUUUUCUCUCAUUCUGUAGGUUAUCUUUUCAAUCUGUUGAUUGCUUCCUUGGCUGUGCAGAAGCUCUUUGGUUUGAUAUAACCCCAUUUGUUUAUUUUUGCUUUCAUGGCCUAUGUUUUUGAGGUCUUAUUCACAAAAUCUUUUCCCACACCAACGUCCUAAAGUGUUUCCUUUUUUUUUUUCUAGUAGUUUAUAGUUUUGGAUCUUACAUUUAGGUCUUGGGUCCAUUUUGAAUUGAUUUUUUUAAUAGAGUGAGAGGUGGGGGUUUAGUUUCAUUCUUCUGCAUAUGGACAUCCAGUUUCCCCAGCACCAUUUAUUAUAGAGACUAUCCUUUCCCUAAUGUAUGUUCUUGGUGUCUUUGUCAAAAAUCAAUUGGCUGUAAAUGUGAGGAUUAAUAUCUGGGUUCUCUAUUCUGUUACAUUGGUCUAUGUGUCUGUUUUUAUGCCAGUACCAUGCUGUUUUGCUACUACAGCUUUGUAGUAUAUUUUUAUUCUUUUUGCUCAGGAUUGCUUUGGCUCUUCAGGGUCUUUUGUGGUUCCAUACAAAUUUUAAGGCUUAUUUGUUCAGCCAGGCCUAGCGGCUCACACCUGUAAUCAAUCCCAGCACUUUAGGAGGCCAGCGUGGGAGGAUCAGUUGAGCCCUGGAAUUCAAUACCAGCUUGAGCAACAUAGUGAGACCCUGUCUCUACAAAAAGAAGAAGAAGGAGGAGGAGGAGGAAUAGAAGGAGAAGAAGGAAGAAAGAAAAAAAAGAAAAAGAAUUUCUUCUAAUCCUAUGAAGAACAUCAUUGGCAUUUUGAUAUUAAAUCCAUAGAUCACUUGGGGUAGUAAUAAGCAGCAUGUUAAGUGUGUACCUUUUUGUUUGUUUGUUUGUUUGUUUUUCUGAGACGGGGUCUCACUUUGUCACCCAGGCUGGAGUGCAGCAGCAUGAUCUGAGCUCACUGCAGUCUUGACCUCCUGGGUUCAAACGUCCUCCAACCUCAGCCUCCUGAGUAGCUGGGACUAUAGGCACACAUCACCACACCUGGCUAAUGUUUUUCUUUUUUUUUCUUUUUUUUUUUUUUUCCUGUGAUGGAGUCUGUCUCACUUUGUUGCCUAAGCUGGAGUGCAAUGGCAUGACCUCAGCUCACUGCAAACUCCACCUCCUGGGCUCAAGCCAUCCUCCCUCCUCAGCCUCCCAAGUAGCUAGAACUACAGGCAUGCACCACCAUGCCUGGCCAAUUUUUGUAUUUUUAGUAGAGAUGGGGUUUCACCAUGUUGCCCAGGCUGGUCUCAACUGGGCUCAAGUGAUCCUCGGCCUCCCAAAGUGCUGGGAUUAUAGACACAAGCCACUGCACCUGGCAUGAUUUUUUUUUUUAAACAAGAGAAAAUUAUCUUUAAAAUUAACAGUUAAGGUGAAGUUUAAAAGAGUAUUUGUCAUCCUAAUAAUGCUUCUUGGUGUUUUUCUUCAAUAGGAGCCUUUCUUGUCCUCUCAUUUUUCACAUUAGAUGAGAUCUAAACACACAUCAAAACUGGGAUGCAGUAAUAGGUGAGGAAAAACCAAUGUCUUUCACUGUACCCAGGCAUUAAAUUUGAUCCCUAGCAUGCCUGGAAAGGGACAGUUUUCCUACUGACUUCCUGAUAUGUACCUAAACUGCAUGGGAUCUCAUCCUUUUUUGUAAAGAGCAAUAAAAUAUUUCAUUUAAUACAAGAACACCUUUCAUCCAGCCUCAUUCAAUUUUCUAGGUUAAUUUUUGCUUUCCAUUCUUCCAGGAUGCUUAAAAUAAGAAGAGUAAAUUCCAAAACCAGCUCUGUUCAUACUAGAGCAAGGCUGAGCAAAGCAUUGCUGACUACGUGCACAGUGUCAGGAGCCAAGCAAACUCUUCAGCCCUCAUUUUCUGGGGACCAAAAGCAGCUUCUGUGUUCUUGCCCUAGGGCUCACCCUUAGUGCCUUCUAGGUAAGACUGCCUUGGCUUCCCUCUGCUAAUCAGGGAAAAGGUGAUUGGAUAGAGUCAUGUUUCACCUGAAGUAUUUUGGCCCCUUAUCUGAACCAGUCAUUACAUCUUAAGGCAGUUGUAACUAGGCUGCUAUAAUGAUCUGACAAAAGACCUAUUCCUCCAACAUUACCAGUCAUUAACUUUCCAAGACAAGAUGUGACAUGCCACAGCCCUCAGAUAGUUCAUCCAGAAGGAGUCUCUUCUUGACAAAUAUAAUCCCUCUUCACCUUUGUUCAUGACAAUUUUAUUUCUUCCACGGUGUCAAACUACCAAUUUUUCCAAGUCAGCAUUCCCUAGUUAGACCAAGGGACUUUUUCCACUUCAAAGGGAGGUGCUGCUAUCUUUUCACUUUUGAUUGUUCCUUACUUUAAUCGUCUUUCCUAAAAUAGUAGUUUUAAGUGGAUAUAUAUUUAAAGUAGCAAAGCCUGAUGCCUUAUUUUUGCUGCAAAUUUUGCAGUUCUAUGUAUAAAAACUUGCUUUAAUCAUAUGUCACUACGUCAUGUUCAGUAUGCACAAAUAAAAACUUAUUCUCCAGAUAUGAUGUCAGAAUGAAUAAAAACUAACAAUUGGGAUAUUUGCCUAAAAGUAAAAAAGAAGCAGGACACUUGGUGUAUACUCUUUAGUUCUUAACUUUAUUUGAGUAACUUUGCCUACCCUGAAAAUUAUAAAAUAAUGUCUUUUGUAAAAAUAGGACCAUUGCUUCAAAGUAUCUCUCUUUUCCCCUUCAGUGGCUAAAUCCAUACAAAGCUAUAAAGUUGAUAAUCAAAAUUGAAAACAAGUAGUUCUCUCUAAAGUUAGAACUGCAGUUCCCUUGGAGGGUCUCAUUAGAUAGAAUCCAGGUGCAACUCUCUGCAACAUAGUGUUAGAUUCUGAACAGAAGUAAAAUAGAGCAUGAUUCCUUGACUUAAAAUGUAACUAAGCAAAGAACACAAGAGUACAGAGGAAACUAAGCUGGUAGAGUCAGGGGAAAGAUAAGUGACAGAGAGCCUGAUGGCCUUGCAGUAGUCUGAGAUGGCAACUUGAAGAAUGGUCAAGGAAAGGCAUUCAAAGUCUAGUUCCAGAACUGACUGAAUGGAAUCAAGAAAAGUGGACUGGGCAAUUGCCAGAUGCUGUCUGAAGGCAUAAGGGUAUGGACUCUUGUAUUGGACCUGGAUUCUCUCCAGAUAACCUUCUCUAGAUUAUAUAAUCUCUGGAUUUUAGAAUGGCAAAGUUCAACGAGUUUAUCCAGGGUUAGUUUAAGAUGAAAAAUAAAAGAAAAGAGAAAAAACUAAGAAACGUAGAAAGGGUAGUAACCUCAACAUCUUGUUUAAUAAAGAAGGAACUCUUAUCUCUCUUGAAGUCAUUCACAUUGGGUCUACCGUAGGAUUUCUCUGCAUAGUAAUGAGAGCUGAAUGAACGAACUCUGAAGAAUUAAAAGAGAUCAAGUGCUAAGAUCUCAGUGAUGGGCGGUACCUAAAGAGGUGAGGCUAAGAGGAGAAAGAAAAUCCCCUGGGGGAGAUAGAGAGUAAGGGUCAAUGAAUAUAGGGGAGUAAACUCAUAAAUAGCAUUUAAAAUUUAUUAUUAGCCUGUAGGUAACUUUUAAUUCUUCAGUUACAGAGAAAACCCCCAUUUUGAGGUUACAAGGAUUUUCUUUUCUUAAAAGUGUUAUUAGAUGUGUCCUACUCCCCCUGUAUAUAUAAUUUUUAAAAAUAAUAGUCUGGAUUAUGAGCUGAAAAGUCUAGUUAUUACCAUGUAACUGUUUUAUGCAAUGUGAUAUAAUUAUUUACUAAUUGUUCCAUAUUCUCUCAUUUUUGUUUUUUCUCUCUUAAUUUGAUCUUCAGUACCUCCAAGGUUGUACCAUAUGCAAUGCUUACAGGCCUCAACUCUGAAGGCUAUUAGAGCUGAGUAUAAUUCUUAGCCUCUCUUAUCUGUGUGGCCUUGAUCUAAUUACUAAUCUAAGUUUCAGUUUCCUUGUGUAUAAAAUGGGAAUAAUAAGAAUAUCUUUCUCAUAGGGUUGUGCCAAGGAAUAAAUAAUGUAAAAUGAAUAAAAUAAUGUAACAUAAGUAAAAUAUUUCCAGUUUGUGAUAAACAGCACAGCAUUUAAGUUUGCUGAUAAAGGCUUGUCUACCUUAUUUUCUCCUAUCGUAUGUGCACCUUUUGUUUUUGUUUGUUUUUUUGAGACAGGGUCUCGCUCUGUCACCCAGGCUGGAGUGCAGUGGCACAUUCUUGGCUCACUGCAACCUCCGCCACCCUGGCUCAAGCCAUCCUUCCACCUCAGCUUCACAAGUAGCUGGGACCACAGGUGCCCACCACCACACCCAGCUAAUUUUUUGUAUUUUUGGUAGAGAUGGAGUUUCACCGUGUUGCCCAGGCUGGUCUUGAACUCCUGAGCUCAAACGAUCAACCCACCUCAGCCUCCCAAAGCUCUGGGAUUAUAGGCAUUACCACUGCACCCAGCCUAUAUGUGCCUUUAACUCCAUUGUAGAAUGCAUAUUGUGUAGAGUGUAUUCUAUUUUUUAUUAUCACAUCAUGUGAAAAGUUCAGGACUAAUUUUAACAAAAUUUGACGUUAUGUUUAUUAUGGUCUGACUGAAACUAAAGAUUCCAAAAUGCAAAUAAUCCCUCAGGGCAGCUGAAACUAAAGCACAACAUGUAUGACUACUCUUAGAAGAGGCGUGCCAUAAGCAACAAGACACAAUGGAAGGGAAUAAACAAGCAGUGGUUUCUGAGGGUCAGGGACUCCAAGUGGCAGUUAAUUUGAAUUGACUGCUUCCCACUUGGGUAACUCUAGGUAUAUACUCCAGAGGAAUUAGUAGCAGGAAAUUCAUUCUUUUUUAAUAUAAAUUUCUUUUGAUAACAAUGUAUUCGUUAUGAGGACAUGAGCAUGGGAAAGAAAAGCUAAGAUGUUAAACAGAUGAAAAUAUUUACAUAACUUCAAAUAGUUGCAAAUACAAAGCCAAGGAGAAGUAGAUUGAAUUACAUUUUCUAAAGAAACUGUCGGACCCAGCCACUGAGCUUUCUCAUCAUUCUCCAUGGUCCCCAAACCUCUGCACCCUCCUGUUCCAUCCUCUCCCCCAACCUGGAUAAGCAAUGUAAAAGCAAUUUCAGUGUUUAAGUUGAACUGUGGUUAGUGUAGCUGAGUCACAGAAUAAACUGGAAAGAGCCAUUCAAGGAAAAAGAAAAACACGUACUAUAAUUGAAGACAAACAUCACUCAGUCUAUAACGCAUUUUCAGGAAUUCAUGUAUGUGUUUUUAUAUAUAAGAUAUAUAAAUAUAAUAUGCAUAAAUAUAGUCACUGGGCAAUCAGCAGAAAGUAUUUAAGGUAACUUAUAUGCAUUGCCAAAAUCUGCGAUAUAUCAUAUUUUAUUUAGUGCAUCCAAAUACCCCAAUUAUUACUAAAUGGAAGCAAGCUGAUAAGCUGCAAGCUAUCUCUAGAAAAUUGGGCAUGAGACUAUGUUAGAAAUCUUCCAGGAAUAGAAGUAAACAGAAAACAACUAAGAUUAGUUGCUUGCAUAUUUUUAGUUAAUAUUAAAUUAAAAAUGUACCGGCUGGGCACGGUGGCUCACGCCUGUAAUCCCAGCACUUUGGGAGGCCGAGGCGGGCGGAUCACGAGGUCAGGAGAUCGAGACCAUCUUGGCUAACACGGUGAAACCCCGUCUCUACUAAAAAUACA